GCAAUCAUAUACCAGGUCAUGAUCUAACAUUGGGUCGAGAUUUCUUAUGCAGGCAUAGUUGGACUUGAUGUUUCCCACCACACUUAUAUAUCAUGUUAUAAGUCAUAAAUACAUGUAGCUACUGAAAGACAAAAUCAUGUGUUAGUGUCUAAUGCCUCCUCACCACUCAAUGUGCAAUAUGAUGAGAUGUUUAUACAACUUGCUCUAUAUAAACACUUAACUACGCGUUACUAAAAUUCAUCACAAACUCACUUGUCCAAAGCCUGAACUACAAAAAAAUAUACAGUUCCUAGUGUUUUCUCAGUUUCUCUGGACUCUUAUCUGAAAGAUCUAUAGCAUCAUGGGUAUCCGUAUGCCUCGUAUUGCUAAUCUUAAACAGAUCCUUAACAGGUCGUCGUUCUUAUUAAAUCCUGAUCUUACGUCAACAAUUCCAAAGGGGUGCUUGGCAGUUUAUAUUGGGGAGAGGCAAAGAAGCCGAUUUGUGGUACCCAUUUCAAUCCUCAAUGAACCUGCCUUUCAAGGUUUGUUAAGUCAAGCCGAGGAAGAAUUUGGAUUCAAUCAUCCGGAAGGAGGUCUUACAAUUCCUUGCUCAGUGGACACAUUCAUCAAUCUCACGUCACACCUGAACAACUUAUAAUAGAAUUUUUUAUAUAUAUACUUUUAGAUAGGAUACCACCUCCGAUCUCAUUUGAUGAGCUUCUGAGUGUACAUUGUAGAACAGAGAUCUUUUCAUACAAACUUUGUAGGGAGCUCAUAAUUUGAUAAUAUCGAUAUCGCUUAUUCUCAUAAUUUGAUACAUUUUAUUUAUAUAAGCACAUAGCUAAGCAGUGGUUCAGAUCAUCACAAAUUCAAUUGUCUAAAGCCUUAUUCAUACAACUUUACCAGUCCUUAUGUUUCUCCAGUCUCCCUGAACUCAAUAUUGAGCAUCACGGGUUUUCGUUUGCCUAGUACUACUAAUCUCAAACAAAUUCUUAACUGGUCAUAUUUCUUGAUAAAUACUUAUCAUACUCCAACAAUUCCAAAGGGUUGGUUAGCAUACCUGAAUGAACCUGCCUUCAAGACUUACCAAUUCAACCUGAGGAAGAAUAUGGAUUCCAUCAUCCAGAAGUUGGCUUCCAAAUUCCCUGCACAGAGGACACGUUCCUUGACCUCACUUCGCGCCUAGAAAAUUAUAAUGAAAUUAAAAAGUUUAUCUAAUCUUAAAUAGCAUAGCAUCUCCAAACAUAUUUACUUAGAAAGAGGAUUUUAAAAUGCAUUAUAUAUGCAAGACAUAGUCAGAUACUUGAUUUGUACCAAGACACAUUAAUUAGAGUUUCUGGUUGAUACUGUUUCCGGUUAACAAAUUUUUAUCUGAAAACAAAUUACUAGCUCUCUCAAAGAUAAGAAUUGUUGUUGGAACAUAUCCAUAAUAUACACAACCUGCAAAACAAACCAACUAAAUAUGCCAAGGUAUAGCAGUCUAAGUGAGUUUGCUGGAGUGCAUCUGCAUGCUAAAUAUAUGACUUGUAAUACCAGCAACUAAACUAGAGACAGAUACAAAAUUCAAGGAAGAUACAAAAGGCUUGUUGGAUUGCAAGAGAAGUGAGUGUUGUGUUGGUUUUUGGAUGAGAAGAUAAAGGGCAGGGCGCGUCUUUCCCGGGGAUAUUCCGGGAGACGCGGCCCCCUGUCCCAAGACGCUGGCAUGAAGGUGAGAAAGAUCAAGGAGAGGGAGGGCGUGUCCUCUCUGUUAGGGCGCGUCCUCUGACUUGGCAAAGCAUACAAACUUUGUAGGGAGCUCAUAAUUUGAUAAUAUCGAUAUCGCUUAUUCUCAUAAUUUGAUACAUUUUAUUUAUAUAAGCACAUAGCUAAGCAGUGGUUCAGAUCAUCACAAAUUCAAUUGUCUAAAGCCUUAUUCAUACAACUUUACCAGUCCUUAUGUUUCUCCAGUCUCCCUGAACUCAAUAUUGAGCAUCACGGGUUUUCGUUUGCCUAGUACUACUAAUCUCAAACAAAUUCUUAACUGGUCAUAUUUCUUGAUAAAUACUUAUCAUACUCCAACAAUUCCAAAGGGUUGGUUAGCAUACCUGAAUGAACCUGCCUUCAAGACUUACCAAUUCAACCUGAGGAAGAAUAUGGAUUCCAUCAUCCAGAAGUUGGCUUCCAAAUUCCCUGCACAGAGGACACGUUCCUUGACCUCACUUCGCGCCUAGAAAAUUAUAAUGAAAUUAAAAAGUUUAUCUAAUCUUAAAUAGCAUAGCAUCUCCAAACAUAUUUACUUAGAAAGAGGAUUUUAAAAUGCAUUAUAUAUGCAAGACAUAGUCAGAUACUUGAUUUGUACCAAGACACAUUAAUUAGAGUUUCUGGUUGAUACUGUUUCCGGUUAACAAAUUUUUAUCUGAAAACAAAUUACUAGCUCUCUCAAAGAUAAGAAUUGUUGUUGGAACAUAUCCAUAAUAUACACAACCUGCAAAACAAACCAACUAAAUAUGCCAAGGUAUAGCAGUCUAAGUGAGUUUGCUGGAGUGCAUCUGCAUGCUAAAUAUAUGACUUGUAAUACCAGCAACUAAACUAGAGACAGAUACAAAAUUCAAGGAAGAUACAAAAGGCUUGUUGGAUUGCAAGAGAAGUGAGUGUUGUGUUGGUUUUUGGAUGAGAAGAUAAAGGGCAGGGCGCGUCUUUCCCGGGGAUAUUCCGGGAGACGCGGCCCCCUGUCCCAAGACGCUGGCAUGAAGGUGAGAAAGAUCAAGGAGAGGGAGGGCGUGUCCUCUCUGUUAGGGCGCGUCCUCUGACUUGGCAAAGCUACCGAUGUGAAUAAAUGAUGUGUGAGGGAGGAUGAGUGAGUCUCCGUGACGACCCUUUCGGGGAUAUGAAGACUAGUUACCAAGCUCAUUUGGUAGUUACCAAGCUCAUUUGGUAGUUGUCAGGCUCAUCUGACAGUUCCCGGGCUCAUCCGGGCAUGAUCUAUAAUCCUCAAUCCUGUAAUCUGCCUAGUUAACCCUUGUGUGGGGGCUUGAGGUGAUCAUGAUUCUUGAAGGCCCUCCGGGGUAAUAUGAAGGCCGAUCAUAUGUCUGGAUCCUGUAUUCUGGUGAGUUAGCCCUCAUCGGGGGAUUGAGACGAUCGUGUAAUUUGGCUCCUUGUCUACCUUGUUUGAAGAUGAAGACCUCACCGAGAGGUGAGGACAUGUCCCUGCACCUCGAGGGGUUAGCCAUGGCUCUCCCAGAUAACUUCUCCAUAAGAGUCGUGGUAGAUGCUAUCUCUCGUAGUGGAGAUAUCGUUGAAUCCGUGAUCUAUUUGGAUUAGGAGUCUGGGGUAGUCAUACUCAAGACUAAUUCUAACAGGAGUAGGAUUCUCCAAGAUGGGCCUUCGGCCUAUCUCCGACCUUAUCGCCAAGAGGCCUAGUCCUGAUCAAACUAGGACUCUUGGUCCAAUAGAACUACGUAUGGCUUGAUCCCCUAUAAAUAGGGGUACGUAGGCACAUUGGGGGAUCAUGAGUUGAGAGCACGUGAGACCAACUCAAAACCCUAAUCUCAGCCACCCCCUAAAACAAACAACCACCACUCUCCGGCGACCAAAACCACCGUCACGGAUCUUGAUUCCGGCCAUGAACCUCAUCUUUGUUGAUUACCAAAUUCCUCUAUCAACAAAUUGGCGCUAGAAGGAGGGGCUAUUCAAGAUCUUCAUCUUAGGAGGAAGAGAUGUCACACGACGGAGAUUCGCACGUAGAGGAGGAGCGUUUUCCGGCAGGGCGAUGGCUAGAGCACAAAAGAGGAGGAGACCUUCAUCUACUUUUUCAGAAAAAGGACGAUAUCUCCAUCGGGAGUUUGAAGGAGGACGAUCAUCAACGAAAUUCUAGGAGGUAACCUAAUUUGCGAUCAGGGUUUUCUGGACCGGGAAGUCAGCGAAGGAUGUGAUUUUCGGAGACCUGACACCUACGAAGAGGGUACGCCUCCCCCGGACAGAGUACGCCUCCCCCGGACAGAGUACACCUCCCCCGGACAGGGUACACCUCCCCCUGACAGGGUACGCCUCCAAGUGAUGUGGUGCUCGACUACCACCGUGAGGAACGAAUUCCCUAACACCUCCGAAGAAGGCGCACCUCCGGGUAAGAUUCUCACAAUGCUUUCGCAUGUUAUUGCUAACAAGUCUGUUGUGGUUUGAGUCUUUACGAGAAGGAGAUCGCCUCCCUGGAAGCCUCAACGGUUUUCUGAAGGGGCGCGCCCUCCCCAGAGCAAGUAAUUUGAGGUUCGCGAGAGGCGCAUGUUGAAGGCCUGACCACAUGUGAUGAUAUGAACGGGAAAGUUACGAAGGGCGAGCUAUUGAGAUGGAACCUAGCUCGAAAAGUCGUAAGGAUGCGCGCCUUCCCCUGACCGGGCGCGCCCUCAGGUAAAUACUAAACUCCCCCAGUAUUUGGUUCCCUAAGACUACUACAUGUGUAAAUUCACAGGUAAUAUGGUGUUACCUUUAAGAGGAGUACACCUCUUCUCCGUGAGGAGUAGUCGCACUUUCCUCCAACAAGGCGCGCCCUCCUAAAGGGGUACGCCAUAUCCAACCAGUAUUCUAUCAGAGAACGAAUUGCGCGCCUCCCUCUGACAGGGCGCGCCCUCUGGUAUGUCUGAUGCAUUAAUUGCUUCAUAUGAUAUUUUGUGAAGACAAACAUACUCAGGAAGGAGCUCACUAGUCUUAAAGAGAUCACGUCCCUCCCUGGGGCGCGCCCUCUCGGAAGUACUCAUCACUUGAGGAAGCGCAUGAGGGCGCGCCCCCAGGAUAAUAAGGUUGAGAAGGGAGAUGCUUCAAAGACGCGCCUCCUCCUAGUUGGACGCACCCCGAGUUCCAAAGUCAUGUUUCCAGGGUUGAUAAUUUGGGAGGACGCGUCUUCCCCUAACAGGGCGCGUCGUGAGGUAACACUGACCAUCAGUAUUAAGUCGUAUACAUGAUAAAGUGCAGGUCAAGUCCAACAUGCUAAAGGAGCUGUCCAUCUUGAUGAGGGCGCGCCCUCCGUUCUACAGGAACGUAGCAUGAUACCUGCAAGGUCUUUGAUCAAGGUACACUUAAGGCCUUUCAAAGGUUACCAAAUUAUCCAUGACCAGCUCUGGGUACUAUGAAUUUUAACCAUCCAUGAUACGCUCUGGAUGUCAUCCACGAUCUACUCUGGAUGCUAUGAUUAUUUACAUAUCCAUGAUACGCUCCGGAUACUAUAUUUGCGCAUCCAUGAUACGCUCUGGACAUUAUACUUGCGCAUCCAUGAUACGCUCUGGAUCUUACAUAUCCAUGAUAUGCUCUGGAUAACAUUUUAUACUAUUCAUUCCCCAUUGAGCUAUGAGCUCUGGGACCUGUGCGAUGCACCGGAGUUAUGUAAACCACGAUAAGAUUCGUGAUGCCCCAUAUGGGAAGAUGUAUGGACUGGGGAGUGGUCCUCUUGAUUUUCUUAAGCAAGUGAUUCACGCGUGAAAAAGUAAAGAUGCGCCAAAGGCCGCGCCCUCUACUUAAUCCUUGGAAAAGAUCAAAAGAGCCCACAUUACAAGUAAGGCUGCGCUCUCUGCUUAUACAGUCCUUGAAAGAAAAGAAAUAUUGCAAGGCAGUGCCAUCAGCCGCGCCCUCUGCUUAGGCAAUCCUUUAACAAAAAGANNNNNNNNNNNNNNNNNNNNNNNNNNNNNNNNNNNNNNNNNNNNNNNNNNNNNNNNNNNNNNNNNNNNNNNNNNNNNNNNNNNNNNNNNNNNNNNNNNNNNNNNNNNNNNNNNNNNNNNNNNNNNNNNNNNNNNNNNNNNNNNNNNNNNNNNNNNNNNNNNNNNNNNNNNNNNNNNNNNNNNNNNNNNNNNNNNNNNNNNNNNNNNNNNNNNNNNNNNNNNNNNNNNNNNNNNNNNNNNNNNNNNNNNNNNNNNNNNNNNNNNNNNNNNNNNNNNNNNNNNNNNNNNNNNNNNNNNNNNNNNNNNNNNNNNACAGGGUACGCCUCCAGGUGAUGUGGUGUCUGACGACCACCGUGAGGAAUGCAUCCCUUGACACCUACGAAGAGGGUACGCCUCCCCCGGAUAGAGUACACCUCCCCCGGAUAGAGUACACCUCCCCUGGACAGGGUACACCUCCCCCGGAUAGAGUACACCUCCCCUGGACAGGGUACACCUCCCCCUGACAGGGUACGCCUCCAAGUGAUGUGGUGCUCGACUACCACCGUGAGGAACGAAUUCCCUAACACCUCCGAAGAAGGCGCACCUCCGGGUAAGAUUCUCACAAUGCUUUCGCAUGUUAUUGCUAACAAGUCUGUUGUGGUUUGAGUCUUUACGAGAAGGAGAUCGCCUCCCUGGAAGCCUCAACGGUUUUCUGAAGGGGCGCGCCCUCCCCAGAGCAAGUAAUUUGAGGUUCGCGAGAGGCGCAUGUUGGAGGCCUGACCACGUGUGAUGAUAUGAACGGGAAGGUUACGAAGGGCGAGCUAUUGAGAUGGAACCUAGCUCGAAAAGUCGUAAGGGUGCGCGCCUUCCCCUGACCGGGCGCGCCCUCAGGUAAAUUAGGANNNNNNNNNNNNNNNNNNNNNNNNNNNNNNNNNNNNNNNNNNNNNNNNNNNNNNNNNNNNNNNNNNNNNNNNNNNNNNNNNNNNNNNNNNNNNNNNNNNNNNNNNNNNNNNNNNNNNNNNNNNNNNNNNNNNNNNNNNNNNNNNNNNNNNNNNNNNNNNNNNNNNNNNNNNNNNNNNNNNNNNNNNNNNNNNNNNNNNNNNNNNNNNNNNNNNNNNNNNNNNNNNNNNNNNNNNNNNNNNNNNNNNNNNNNNNNNNNNNNNNNNNNNNNNNNNNNNNNNNNNNNNNNNNNNNNNNNNNNNNNNNNNNNNNNNNNNNNNNNNNNNNNNNNNNNNNNNNNNNNNNNNNNNNNNNNNNNNNNNNNNNNNNNNNNNNNNNNNNNNNNNNNNNNNNNNNNNNNNNNNNNNNNNNNNNNNNNNNNNNNNNNNNNNNNNNNNNNNNNNNNNNNNNNNNNNNNNNNNNNNNNNNNNNNNNNNNNNNNNNNNNNNNNNNNNNNNNNNNNNNNNNNNNNNNNNNNNNNNNNNNNNNNNNNNNNNNNNNNNNNNNNNNNNNNNNNNNNNNNNNNNNNNNNNNNNNNNNNNNNNNNNNNNNNNNNNUAGACAGUCUUGGUCCAAUAGAACUACGUAUGGCUUGAUCCCCUAUAAAUAGGGGUACGUAGGCACAUUGGGGGAUCAUGAGUUGAGAGCACGUGAGACCAACUCAAAACCCUAAUCUCAGCCACCCCCUAAAACAAACAACCACCACUCUCCGGCGACCAAAACCACCGUCACGGAUCUUGAUUCCGGCCAUGAACCUCAUCUUUGUUGAUUACCAAAUUCCUCUAUCAACAGAUAACAUGGUCCGGAGAGACUGUCAUAUGUUCAACUGCUUUCCAGAAUGGCGAGUCAGUCUUGUAAAUAUCUUGUCAUUCUAUACGUAGGGUCACAUGAGCUGGACAGUCAAAAUAUCCUAGAAUUAUACUUUUUAGGUGAAAAACCGAAUAAAAUCAGGGAUGUAUUGUAGCCUUGAAGGGUGAAAAUAAUGAGAGAAACUAUCAACUGUAAAGAAUUGCCAAGGUUAAUGGGAAAGCUUAAUUUAAGUCUAAAAAAAUGAAGCCUUAUGUUUGGACUAAAUGGUCUCGGGCCUCUUGGCUAAUCUGGUCAAAGAAUAUGAUUGUUCCUUUUAGAAAAUGGCAGGCCUCUUUAUACUCUACCGCUUUAGUCAACACUUUCAAGCAUGUUUUUAUCACUUUAUAAUCAUCUUUUAUACCACUUAAUCUUGUAAUUUCUAUCAAAUUUAGCUGAAUCUACAGUUUUAUCACGUUUAUCAUCACCAAAUUGAAAUAUGAUCUCACUCUUUUGUUGAAGAGUCUAUACAGCGGCGCAGCAAUGUGAAGUUCUGGGAAGCCAUUUGAUGCGUACUCCAAGUCCUUUGCUGAGAACAAGAGAGUCUGAGACAAGGUCUUAAAGUAAUUUUCUGUAAACUAAUAAUUGGAAAACUAAUAUCGAACACUACCGCGUUUUGAGGAUGAUUAUUAGUAGCCUUCUUCUCAAUAUGAUUUCAAAAAUGAAUCUAUAGCUUUAAUAACAACAUGACAGUUUAACUAAAUUUAUAAACAUUCAUUAAAUACAUCUCUGGUGUUAUUAUUCGAUAAAUUACUAAGUUAAAUAUAUUAAUAAAUUAUUUUUAAAUAAUAUUUUAAUAAAAUAAAUUGUAUGGUUCCAAAGACAAUUUAUUCAUCGAGACUCAGGAGAGUAGGUUGGAAUAUUUUUGGUGCUAACAAAUUUUAAUCAUUUAUCGAAAUAAUAUAAAUUGUGAGUUGAAAAACACAUAAAAAUCAUAUAAGCAUUUCUAACGAUAUUAGUUAAAUACAAUAAUGGAAACUACUGAAUAGAGUACAUCGAUUACUAACACAUCGUCUUCCAACAGAUUUUAUUCUUCUUCGAACAUUUUCUACAUUUCUAACAUACUGCAUGUUAUUUUGCAACUUAAUUUAUAUUUGUUCGAUCAUACUCCUUUCUUGCUCUCGAAACCACACUGCUAAUCUAACGAAGGAUAAAGAAACCGAUUCAAAUACCACGAUCUAUCUCUCUUCCCCAUUCCAACGCCGCCGUUACAAUCAAACCCACACCCACACUGCGGACUCUCCUCGAAAUUCUCAACAUCAAAAUCCGCCGAAACAAUCCCUACCGAAAACUCCAAUUCAUCCCCGUCUCUACUAACUUCACCGAUAUUCAACCAAAACAGCAGCACCUUCACACUUAUCCCGCUCAAAUCCUUGAGCUUGUUCGUCGAGAUCGUCCCGGAUAUAGUCGACUUGUACUUGAGCGUGUAGCCUUCCACGUCAAACUGGCACGAAUCGUCCAAAUAGACUUGGAACUUGCCCGUGUUCGUGUCGAGUUCGUAUCGUGUUAUGCCGACGGGGAGCAGGCCUACAGGGAAGUUGUAUUGUUGGAGGACUUCGUAGACUGAGGGAGUGGAGGUGGAGAGGAGAGGGAGAGAUAUGAGGAGGGAGAUGAGAAGGUGAAGUGAAGACAUUGUGUUUGUUGAGUUUAGAACAAGGUGUUAGGUGUGUGUUUGUAUAUGUAGAACUCAGUAGAAGAAUGGUUGAGUGAUGGGCCACGUGGGUGUUUAAGACCUUUCUGCGAUGAGAUUAAGGCUCGGUAGUCUUUGGUGAACUUGUCAGUGUAGGACUAGGAAUUAAAUGCGUUGGAUGUUCAAGUGUGACGCCACGAAUUUCAUCUUGCGCACGGGAUUUUAUGAUAAUUAUUUAGCUAUGAUCUCGCAGUUUUUUUUACGAGCACUGGACGAUAGAUUUGAGAUUGUGCAACACUUACACACGUUAUUUGUGCUUAGGCUCCACGUGUUUACCUAUCAUUUCCCGAAACAAGUCGAUCACAUGGCACGACUUAUUUCUUUCUGUUGCCGAUAUUUUGUUAAAACUAAAUUCAACGACUUAAGACGGAGUGGGUUGAUAAUUGAUAUCAUCUGAUAAGAAAUGAUAGGCGUUAAUUGGGCCAGCAUUUCAAAAGUUUGAACAACAUGAUUUUUGGCCCAGAACUAAACCCAAACCACACUCGCAUCGGUGACUACUAUUAAAUCACCAAGACACCAACUACAGUAGAUAAUCCACGUGGGAACGAAGAAGAAAAAGAAAUCGCCGUGCUAUUUUUGGGUUUUUAUUUAAUAAUUUAUGUGAAUGUAAGGUAUAAAUUUGUUAGCCGGUGGAAAGAGCAAGCAGAUUGUAGCUGUAUUUUACUUGUGUUUAUUUGAAUGGAACGGUGAGGGAUUAAAAUCAAAUUUCUACUAUAUUAAGAAAUAUCGGAUAAAUAUUUAUAAUUUUCAUCAUAUCAUUUCAUACUAUCUAAAAUAAAAAUUAACACACUUAUUUUGAGUGGAAUGUUCCCAUUUCCUCACUAUUUUCACAAAAUUCGUUCGCUAUUAUCUUACAUAUUGUUAUUUCUCCUUUAAAUUAUAUUUAUAAUUUUUCAUUAUGUUCCUUGCUCUAGUAAUGUUUAUUGAAGUUCUUUGUCAAAUUAUAUAGUAGAUUAUAUAACAAUAUUUUAAGGGUAGUGUUAAGAAUCCCAAAAUUUGUUUUCAAAUAAUUUUUUCAAAAGACGUGACAGACAUAUGACGAAUUUUGGUUGGGUGGUUUAUGUGCAUACAGGGUCUCAUUAUUUAUUAGUAUGAGUGUAACUAAUCUGGUAUUACCACAUAAAUUUAGGAACAAAUUCUGAGAUAUUUAGCAUUUUUCAUAUUUUAAGGGCCCCAACUCCUUGCAAGCGUUUUUGUAGCAAUCUAUUUAACUAAUUUUUCGCACAAAGAGAUUACGUUGUAUUUUUAAUGAGCAUGCAGGAUUUAUUAGCCAAUAUGCGGUUUAGACAUUCAUUUUAAAGUUUUUUUCCCUCGGUAUUUUAUCGUGGUGAAAACAAUCAAUUAUUAAGACAAUCUCGUAUAACUAAAUAAAAUGUAUUUUUUUUUAUCAAAAACAGCACCAAAUACAUGCUAUUAUAUCAUUCCAAACAACAAAUGAAGUUUGUGUUCAAUAUUAUGCCCACUAGAACGUAUGAAAUGUGUGUUCAACAUCAUGCUGAAUAGAACUUAUGGAGAAAAUUUUAUCAAUGCUCUAAAUGUUCUUCGACUCACAACUGUCCCAGUCGCUGUUAAGGGGCAAGAAGGGGUAACUAAUCAAAUUAAACAGCGCUUGCGUAACCAGGCUAGUAUAAUUGUGCCUUAAAUCUCCAAUUAAAUUCCUGCGCCAUUUUUGUUAAGGCAGAUCUCAACUAGAGCUCUUGAAAAACUUUUUUUGAAAAUAACGAUAAAUGGACGAUAAGGAAUAAGAGAGAUUAAGAGAGAAAUGACGUCAUUGAAGGACAUGAUCCAACAGUCAUAAACUUUCCUCAAACAAACAAAAGUGUCGACAAAAAUAGUCCUCAAAUGACCGGAACAUUUGUGUGAAAAUGUGAAACAAGUCCUCAAAUGACAAGAAAAAUCAGGACUUGAAUGUGUUUAAAAUUGUCCUCAAAUGAUUGGAAAACGUCUAAGACAUAAUAAUCUUCUAAUGACAAGAAAUGAAGCAUCUGUCAGGACAAUGAAAAUUAUAUGUAAUACAAUCUAAUCUAAUUGUUUAUUAAAAACAGUAAUAUAAUAUAAUUUAAUUGUUUAUUAGAAACAAGUAGUAGUUUGUUCCAAGAAUUUCUUAUUGUAUUCAACGACUUGGGGGGGAAUAUUAAACAACUUUCUUUUAAUUCAUUAGUUUGAAGGGGAGUUUAAGCAGUGAGAAGGGUAGUAGAGUUUUUGAUUUAUAUAUAUGUGUGUAUGUGUAUGUAUAUAUACAGUGUGUGAUCUAAUUGUGAAGAAACGUAGCCCUUUUCAGUAAAGUAUAUUACUACUCCUUCCGUCCCACCAGGAUGUUUACGUUCACUGUUUGCACGCAUUUUGAGACUCCUAUGUAAAGUAUAGUUCAAUAGCAUUUUUUUAAUUUAUUUAUUUUUUGAAUAAAAAUUUACACGUCAAACUUUUUUUUUCCAUGAGCUUUUUUGAAAAAAAACAUUAUGAAACUAUACUUUACAGAAAUCUUAAAAUACAUGCCAAAAAGUAGCGUAAAGAACUUGAUGGGACGGAGGGAAUAUCUCUUUGUUCAUUACUUUGUUCCACCUAUUUUUGAAUCUCAAACUAAGUUAUUAACUGCCUUACAAAAUUCUUCAUUGUUUCCUUGAAAGAUUGAAUAAAUAAAGCGGAUGCUUGCUGUUAAAUACUCUGGAUAAGACCUAAUACAAGUACAAGUAGGUGUACGUUCAUAUAAUUCUGGUAUUUUGAAUGGUACAAGUGGGAAGAUUUUUAUGAAUAGCCGGAAUAGCAUAUAAUCACAAGGAAAGCUACUCAUCCUUUGCUAUGCUUUAUUCGCAAGUGAGCUUUCGGCAUUUAGCUUUGAGAACACCAAAUUGCCCCCGUCUCCCAUGCCUCUGCCUCUUGAAUCACGAAAUGAUCAGAUUAUGGGAGAGUGUCCACUCAAAUCACCCAGAUAAGGUCGGAUAUAAUAUGCAUGUUGCAGGCUGUACUAAAGCUUUAGAUGAUGCUCUUUUAAUUCCCCUCUUGUGUACUGAGGUUGGAUGCCUUCCUUUCAAUAUCAAUAAAUUCUUCUCUUGCACUUUUUGUUCUACCUUUUAAACUCAUUUCUUGUUUUAGGCUUUAGCUAUAAACAUGAGCAUGUUCGGCCCUACUUAUUUUUUACGAAUCAUGAUUUAUGUUUGAAAAGUUAAAUUAUAUUUUCAUAAUCAUAUAAAGAGUAAAGUUCUAUGGAGUACAUAAAAUAUUGGGGUAUUGGAGUACAAAAUUGGAUAAAAUGUAUUCAUUCAUCUAAAUUUUAAUUUUUUUUGUUCAAUAAUAUUCGGAAACAUUUAAUAACCUGCACAUUAUAUUCUACAACAUAAACAUUCUAAUCAAAAGAUAGAAUAAUGACUUUUAUAAAUUAUAGGACUCUAUGUUCUGCAAUAUAACUAAUAAGCAGAACAAUAAUGUUAAUACUUGUUAAAGUUGAAAGAUAUUAACGAUUGAUAGACAAUUAUGUGCAAGACAACUUAUAAAUGAUAGAUUGUAUAUAAAUUUGCAUAAUCAAAUAUAUUAUUUACCACCAAAACCACCGUCACGGAUCUUGAUUCCGGCCGUGAACCUCAUCUUUGUUGAUUACCACAUAAAAUCAUGUUCAUAAUAAAAAUCGAGAUGUUUUUACAUGCUCCUGAUUUAUAACUCCUAAUUUAUGUGUUCUUUGUGUAAAAAGAUUAUAAGUCAAUUCUAACUUAAACAUUAUACUCCCUCUGUCCCUCUUUUCUUUACGUUAUUUUUUGGCACGUUUUUUCACACUCAUUUAAAAUAUAGUUCCGUAAUUUUUUUUUAAAUUUUUAUUCUCUGAAUAAAAAUUUGAUGUUUAAACUUUUAUUCAAAAAACAAAAUAAAAAAAAAAGUCAUGAAACUAUACUUUAUAGGAGUCUCAAAAUGCGUGCAAACAGUGCAUGUAAACUACCACGGUGCACGGGGGACCGAGGGAGUAUAAGAAAUUGAAAAUACUAGUUUCUUAAAUGAAUUAUUGUGUUUGAAAUUUGAUUUUAUCAAAAUAAGUAGGAACACUUUGAAAAUACUCUAUCAUUUUUUAUUAUUAUAUGGAUAAUUUUUAUACUUGUGAAUAUUAAAAAAAGUUAUUCAAAUAUAUAAAUUAAAAAUUAUAUCUCAUUUAUUAAUUGUCUUCAUUUAUAACUAAAUAUAUUUUUUAAAAUUAAGCCAAAAUGAAGAGAGAUAAGUUUUAAGGUUGAAAUGUACUCAUUUGACAAAAAACUAUAAUGUGUUACAAUCUAGAUUUUACCAAGUUGCACAAUCACAUAGGAACAAACCGACUCUAAAUUCUGCUUUCUGCAUGCAUAUAAAUAUCUCUCUACCCCCGACUUUCACCGAAUCAUCUCUAGCCAACUCACUCAUUAUAUACCACACCAUCCUUCCUCUCCAGUGUCUAUACGCACACACAACAUAUCGAAAAUUCUCUCAUCGAACACAAACACCAGAAAACAUCAAAUUAACAUGGAUGACAAAUACACUCCGCACGUAAAUAUCGAAAAAUCGAGCACCCAUCUCACGAACUAUGCUUAUAGUAGCAAGGUCAUGUUAAUCUCCGUCAUUGUACUCUUCGUUUUCUCCGUCACCUUCGCUAUUUUUCACCUCUACUCUCGCUUCGUUCUCCUCCGCCGCUCUCGUAAUCUAAUCCGUCUUCGUCAUCAUCGCACUUCAUUUACCGAUGAUUCGCCGCUCUCUUCUACCGAAAAGGGGCUCGCGCCGUCCAUUUUAAAUUCGCUUUCGACGUUUGUUUUUGUCAACAAGGAUAAUAACGCAUCGCUUGACUGCGCGGUCUGUUUGUCCGAGUUUGAGAAAAAUGAAACGGGUCGGAUCUUGCCCCGGUGUAACCACGGGUUUCAUUUGGAGUGUAUUGACAUGUGGUUUUUGUCGAAUUCGACUUGCCCGUUGUGUAGAGCUCCGGUUCAGUUGUGUCCGGUUUCGGAGCCGGGUCGUAACCGGGUUGAUGUGGUUAUUGAUAUCGAUCGGGUGGGUCCUGACCCGGUUCGGUCCGGUUUGAGCUCAAACCACAGCUGUAAUAGAAUGGUUUAUUCCUCAUCGUCUUCUUCUUUGCCGCAAUUGCUGAAUUGUGCAAGUGUGAAUAGGGGUACUGGGCUGGAUGUAAGGGUCGGGUCGGAUUCUAGAAUAGGGUCUAAACCGAUGGGUCAACCUGCAAGGUCCUUGACCAGGCUCAUGAGCAUUUAAUUGCAGUUGUUUAUUGUCAAAACUGUUUGUAAAUGCUGGCACUUGAACCGGCGUGUCGUGCUGUGGUGAAGACACGUUGCAAUGCUGUCGUACACCUCAUAAACCUUUAUCUAUAAAUAUAAAAUUUAAUUUUAUGCGUUAAUUACACAGUGAAUUCAAAUGUGACCACCGUAAAAUGUCUCUUCGUGUUAAGGGUUGCCGAGCGCUUAUCCUUAGGGCUGUAAAAUGAUCCGGUGAUCCCGGGUACCCCUCUGCUCAAGUACCGGAUCAUAUUAUAUUUAGCUUGUCCAGAUUUGGGUCUGGGAUCGUUUUAUUCGGAUCUAAACCGAUCCCGAGUAUUUGAGAUUCGGCUCAUCUAAUUACUAUUUGUCUUGAAAAGAUGUAGUUAAAUUUUAUGAAAGAUUAUUACAUAACUCCUAUCUUUUGCUAAAUUCAUGUAGAAAUCGAUGUUUUGAAUUACAAAUGAUCAGCUAAUGCUUUACCUAAUAGAUUGACAUCAAACGUCUCACAUCCUCAGUCAUUUAUAUACACUUUUUGAACAGUUCAAAAAAAGUUAUUUUCUGAAAAGUGCAUUUAUACAACGGCCGUUUGUCUGAAUUUAAAAUAAAUGUUUUUUGCUUAAGGUAAAUAAAGUGGAGUAGAAAUAAGAAAUUAAUCAAGACUUAUAAGUGAUUAAAGUGUUUGUUAAAAAAGUAAAAGUCAUGAAAUAAAAGCUAGAAUUCUUAACUUUUUAUAAGUUUUUGAGUAAAUGACAAAGUGGUGGCUAUAAUUUUUCAAAUUUUACAAUAUAGUGGCCGAACUUUAAAAACUACAUAAUGGUGGCCGGAGUUUACUUUCGUCUUUUAAUAAGGUGGCCGCCGUGAAUCUCCGUUAAUUUUCCUCCGUUAACCCCGAAAAAUAAGAGUAAACGACAAAGUGGUGACUAUAGUCUUCCAAAUUUUAUAAAAUGUUGGCUGGAUUUUCAUCAUUUUUUCAUUUAUUUUUUUAUUUUUUGAAGUUAACGGAGGAAAAUUAACAAAAGUUCACGACCACCACCUUAUUAAAAGGUGGAAGUAAACUCCGACCACCAUUAUGUAGUUUUUAAAGUCUAGCCACCAUCUUGUAAAAUUCGAAAAACUACGGCCACCAAUUUGUUAUUUACUCUAAGUUUUUUUCAACUUUUUACACAGUACAAAUAAUUGUUUCUAACUUAUAACUCCAACUAGCGGAGCUUAAAAGCUCCACCCAAACACCCAUUAUACACUCUGCCUUAUCUAUGCAUUUCAUUAAUUAAAAACAUAUUUCUUAGAAGUUAUUUUGGUAUCGUCUAUACUAAAAUAUGCUAGUCGUACUCUCGAAAGAGAAACAAAUAUAUAAAUUAGGAAUAUUAAUAUAUAUAAAUAAAGAAAAAAAUGGACUAAGAAAACGUGCUUGUAACUUGUAAGGUCCAUAAGUCUUAACAUGCCGAUCUUAUUUGUCGAUAAUUUAAUAGCAGAAUAUAAUUUACAAUGUGAUGACUAAACUACCCUCGAAACUGGCCGACGCCUACGACCACGAGAGACAAAAUGGUAAUACCGUGGCCAAGUGAAACCCCCUGCCCCUGUCGGAGCAGAUAAGUAACAACCCACCCUUAUCCCACGUGUCAAACUAUGCGCGUGUCUCUCACGCGUUCAGACACAUUUUCUCGCGUCUUCUCCGGCAACCUUGUAAGUUGUAAUAACAGCGUAUACAUAGAGAUCAGAUAGUACAGCCACAGAAGAUGUAGAAAAAACAGAGCAUGAAGACGAUGGCGACUGACUCCAACGCGCUUAUUACAGACCACAAUAGCGUGUCGAUGAUGGAGAAAUCGAGGGUGGGCAUGAACCGGUGAAUGUCCUCCGGUCUCCAGCUGGGCAGGAAUCCCGAUAAGAGGAGCCUCGGCCACCGGAAAAGUGAGGUGGGGAGGCUCAUACUCACUUCCACCCACCUGAAUGCCGAUCCCCACCCCUCCAUUCACAGCUCUCUCUCUCUCUUAAUUAUAAUAUUUAUAUACCUAAAUAUCUUCUUACCAAAUGGCUGACAAACAAGAUAUAUUCUUACAAAGUGAUUUCGUGAAUCAUAUUGCUAUAUAUGCUCUGGAGCAUUUGAUUCUAUAUUGGAAAUAUUCUAAAAUAUUAUAGAUUUAUCAAACUUUUUCUCAAAUAAUAGGACACACGUAUGAAUAACUUUAAUUGAUUAAUUUAUGUGUUUAUAAAAGAAUUUAUUACAAUUAAUACGAGUAUAACCAAUUUUGGGUGUUUAACAUUUUUAAAAUAGUUUCUGAUUGUUUUUUAAUAUAAAUUUUAUUAAUUAUAUUCUGAUUCGACUAAUUAAUCCUAAUUUAACGAUAAUUUUUUUAAUAAAUUUUUAGUGAUAGAUCAAAUAUAAUUUAUAAUUCUUACCUAUUAGAAUGUGAUAUGCGUGUGGAUGAAUACCUGUUACUAUAUACUCCUUCCGUCCUAUUUUACAUGUCCCCAUUUGCCUUUUGACCGGUCAAAUUGAUCAAAUUUUGACUAAAUAUUACAAAUUAUCUUUUCAUUAUUUUCGAAAUCUGAAAGUUGCAUAUUAAAAUACACUAAAUAUACUUUUUAAUGAUAUAAUUUUUAUUAUUUUUUGAAUUAUAUGAUAUAUGUAAAAUUUCGGUCAAAACAUAUUCAAUUUGACUGGUCAAAAGUCAAACAGGGACAUGUAAACGGGGAUGGAGGGAGUAAAAUAUUAGAGCAUCUCCAACCAUCUAAAACCCUUGGCUAAAAUGUGAGUUGGCAUGCUUAAAAUAAAAAAAUUUAGCCAAACAGCUCCAAAAACUCAACUCCAACCAUGAUCAGUUGUUGUCUAUAAAUUUAGCCAACCUCCUAUGGAUGGCUAAAUUUGUCGAACCUCUACAGGUCUGUAAGAAAAUCUAUAAGAAGAUUGUACAUCAUUUAUUACCAUAUUGAACUGAUAUAUUCUAUUUUAACAAUUUUAAAUAUUAAUAAAAUAUUAUUUUUAAAUUAUAGCCAACCAAUAUAGCCAAUACCAUUGAGGCAAAAUGUCUUACAGGUUCAGUAAAUUUUACAUAAUGUCUUACAGGUCCAAUUUAGCCAACGAUUAUAGCCAACGUCGUUGGAGAUGCUCUCUCCUAUAAAAAUAAUGUGAAAGUAUUAGCCAUCAUUUAUAGCAUGAUAAUAUCUGGUAAUUUUGUGGGACCUGGACUUAAUGCGUGGUUGACUAGAACUCAUGAUCAACCGUAAUUGUUGUUAGAUAUUUUUUUAUUAUUAAUUUCUAAUAUUGGGUCUGCAGUUUACAACUGAUUCUAAUAGUUGAUUCUAAACAAAUGAUCAGUAGAACAAGAAGAAGGAUAUUUGGACUAGUUGAGGGAAUAAUUAUAGCAUCUGGUUCUUAAUCCUGAAUAUUACUAGACUUUUUUCAGUCAAUCUGGUUGUUAAGGAUUAGCAGCAAGCAUUAGUUUUCAGUUUUCACUUUCUUGGUUUGUGGGAUAAGUUGAGCUCUAUUGUUUAGUGUUUUCACCAGCAACAACAUUCGUCCUUUUCCACUACGUACUUAUCAUUGAGAAAAUCAACAUGAUCUAUGUAAGUAUUCUUCAUAAGCUCCUCAGCAACUUGAGCAGGAGCACUUGAACGCUUCCUAAAAGCUCUUUCCCNUGAUGCUUGAUGUCGAGAUAAGUGGAUGCCAGAGUUUUGAAACCAUUAGCAGUGAGAUAAGACAUGUAUUCCUCCAGGACGCAACAAUCUGAAAUAAUCUUUCCUCUUGACAAACAAAUCCAAGUCAUCCAUCACUAUCAGGGCUUUCUUCGUAUUAGUCUCCAUUGGAUGAAUGCUCUAGUGCUAUUGAGUCCCAACACCCUGAUCAUCCGAUAAAGCCUGCUAGAGUGUGCAGCUUCACAGCUCUCUUUGCAUUUUCCAUCAUCUACUUGUUUACUCUUCUUGGAAGUGCUCUCUGAUUCCUGGCAAACGGAUGCCCACGCAAUGCAGAGACUGGUACACUGCAGAAAGAUUCAAGUUUCUUCACAAAAAUGGACCUACACAACCCUCUGCUUUAUUGUUUUUCCACUUUCAUGCCAACUUCAGCACUACAUGAUCAUCUGAAAAUUUAUUUAUGCAAAAUAUACACAACUAGACUAAAGAAUCUGUAAUAUGCAUGUAUGCUUGGGAUUCAAUACCACACUGCUCACAUUUUAGUGGUUCAAAUAUUAUUUUUACCAAAAUACUUAUAUACCACAGAGUAGAAAUUUAUACAACACUCGAAAAGAUUUAUGUAGAUUCAGUCAUUCACUAUCAUGGAUCAGAGUGAUCCUUGUAGAAAGAUUCAUUCUAUAUUCAUCAUAAUCUUUAUCCAUGUUAGAAUAUUGUGUUUAUUAUUUUAUUUUAUUUCAAAUGUGAAUUAUGCCAAUUUCCCAGAUGUGAUAUGACAUUUCCACAUAAUACACAACUAAGCAGCACAAAAUUUAUCAAGUCAACAAAUUGCGUCAACAAAAAGCAGCUAAGAUAGGUGAGAAAACACCAUCGUAUGAGAUCCUAACUUGUUUAUUCACCACAAAAACUAAGCACAUGAAAAUUUGCCUUAGGAUGAGCUUUCAGAUAUAUCUUUUGAAAGCCGUUCAUAUCCGUAUAUAUUACGUGUAUAAACUCUCUUAUUCUCCAUUAUAAACUUUACACAUGAAUUUAGAUGACAAAAUAUAGGUGGAAACUUGUUAAACACAACUACUAGCACAUGAUGUCUUUUAAAAUUAGUCCUCCCACCUAGACCUAGUGCCUCUCUGUCACUCAUUCUGCAUUUGGAUCAACUGUUCUAUUAAUUCCUAUUUGUUCUAUAUAAAUAUUGGGCCCAGAGCCCAAAGGAAGGAACAAGCCCAUAAGCUAGCCCAGUGCUAGGGAAAAGCCCAUUCAUACAUAGUGACCCGAAGUCCGAUCCGAACCCUUUUUUUUUUUUUUAACAAUGCACGCUUAUAUGCCUUACAAAUUAGUANUAACAAUGCACGCUUAUAUGCCUUACAAAUUAGUAUCCGUUCUAAUAAUUCUCGGGGUGAGCCAGAGUCGAACCCGGUGUCCCGAGACAACAGAGAAUAAGCCCACCGCUAGGCUAUCCAAUCGUGCUCAAAAUUUCGACGUUAAUUUUCAGUUUUAUUAUACCAUUUCUUACACGAACACCUCUCUUUAUUCGAAAUUGCCAACCUAAGAUUACUUUUUAAGACAAAGAGGUAGAUGUUCACUUUUUCUUAACAGUUGAAGGAAUAUGAGAAAAUGAAAUAUUUUGGGAAAUGAAAGAGAUUAUUAUAUCGGAGGCAAAGAAAGCAGGUGAAAAAUGGCCGACGAAAAUGAAAUAAUGGAGGGUAUGGGAGGUUUCAGUGGUAAAGUAAUAACAGUUAGUGAAGCCGUAGAGGAUAUCAUGUUAGUUUGGGGUUUACAGCAACCCUGUUUUUCAACACAAAAUGCUUUUGUUCUUCAAGCUUCUCUCCUUCUCCCUCUUGAUGCUUGUGGUCGCUCUCUCUCCAUUAUUCAGUCCCCUUGUUCUCUCGUAAGUAUCUCCUUUCCCUCUCUUUUUAAUCCAUAUCCUGUCUUAUUGUAAACAUAAUUCAUAUUCGUUUAACGGAAUUUCUAGCGUGUGCCUGGAACAACCACGUUUUAGUUAGGUGUUAGAUUACUAUUGAUUCUUAUCUUAUUAAUAAUGAUGGUCCCGCCGAUCAGAAUCCUCGGUCUAAAUUAAAAGUAGUUGUUAGUUUGUGGCCACGGGGACACACUAGACUCUUCGUUUGAUUCUUAUUAACUAUCAUUCUCGUAACUUGCGAUUUGUUCAACUGAAUCAGGGCACUCCAGGAGUGACUGGAUCAGUAAUGUGGGACAGUGGCGUUGUGUUGGGUAAGUUCUUAGAGCACGCUAUGGAAACAGCACAGAUUGAUCUAAGAGAUAAAAAGGUUGUGGAAUUGGGGUCUGGCUGCGGUUUAGUUGGGUAAUAACAACAAACAUCUUACGCCCACUGCUUAUAUCUGUUGACACAGUCUGUUUCCUUUUUCCUUUAUUCGGGUUUUUAUUCUUUUUAUCAGGUGCAUUGCAGCUCUUUUAGGGGCGCAAGUUGUACUCACUGAUAUGCAAGAUAGGCUCAAGUUACUGAAAAAGAAUGUGGAAGAGAAUCUAUAUGGGAAUGUGCGGGGUUCUGCCACUGUUAUUGAGCUCACUUGGGGAGAUAAGCCUGAUCCGAAGCUCAAUAAUCCUUCACCUGAUUUUGGUAAUUAUCUCUCUCUCUUUUUUUCUUAAGCAAUCUCUUGUUCCUUGGUGUAAGAGUACACAUCUCAUCCUUUGUUUGGUUGGAAGAAAUAAAGUGAGAGUGAGGGGAAGUGGAAUGGAAUUUGAACUAGUUUGUAGACAGCUAGUUUCAACUGGAGCAUCCAAAUAUUAAGUAUAAGAUCACAAUCAAAACUCUAAUAUAUCUGAAAUAAACUGAGCUAAUUUUAUUGGCAGAACUUGUGGCUAUAUAUAGCCUUACAAAGCUGAAACGAUAAAUCCUAAUAACUGGAGUUUAUCUUCAGUGAAGAUAAAGACUCAUCAAACUACUUUAUUCCUAAUGACUUAUCUGAAACAAAAUAGAGUCCUGGAGCUACAACUAGAGUCCUAUAAUACUAAAAUGAGAACAAAACAAUUCUUUCACACCCUCCCUUAAACUAACUGUCAUAACAGAUAUACAGUUAGUUUACAUCUUCCAGUCUGCACACACCCAAGCGACCUCUGAACCAUAAGAAUGCAUCUAGCGGCAGAGGCUUUGUCAUUAUAUCAGCAACCUGUUCUCUAGUUCCACAAUGUAUCAAAUUAAUGACUUCAUUUUGAACAAGCUCUCUUAAGUAAUGAAAACGUACGUCAAUGCGCUUGCUUCUACCGUGCAUAAUAGGAUUCAUAGAUAGCUUUAUAGUAGAACUAUUGUCACAAUAAACCAGAGUUCCCUGAUUGUGAACACAACCAAGUUGUUCGGUAAUUCUCCUCAUCCAUACUGCUUGAAUUGCACAACCUGCUGCCGCCACAAACUUAGCUUCUGUCGUGGAUAAUGUAACAAUAGGCUGCUUCUUUGACAACCACGAGACGACCCCAGAACCUAUCAAGAACACAUAACCAGAGGUGCUUUUCCUGUCAUCCACAUCUCCAGCAUAAUCACUGUCCGUAUACGCAAUCAAAUCUGAGUUUUCUCCCCUGUACAUAAUUCCGUAAUCCGUUGUUCCCUUUAAAUACCUUAGUAUCCGUUUAACUGCUUGUAAGUGAAGUUCAGUAGGUUUACACAUAUACCUACUGACUAAACUAACACUGUACAUCAAAUCUGGACGAGUUGCAGUAAGGUACAUCAAGCUUCCUACUACUUGCUUGUAAAAGGACUCGUCGAUUGUGACACCAUGCUCAUCAAUCUGUAACUUGCAACCAGGAACAAUUGGACUACAAACAGCUUUGCUUUCCAACAUUCCAAACCUUUUCAAAAUUUCAGUUGCAUAUUUCUUUUGGCAGAUAAAAAUGCCAUUUGCAUUAUGUGUUACUUCAAUACCGAGAAAGAACUUCAUCAUCCCAAGAUCUGUUAUCUCAAAAGUUUUCAUCAUUGAAGCUUUGAAAUCAUUUAACAUUGUUUCAUCAUUACCAGUAUAAAUCAUAUCAUCAACAUAAAGACUGACAAUAAGCAUUUUACCUUCGUCGCUUUGCUUAGUAAACAAUGUUUGCUCAUUUGGACACUGCUGAAAACCUUGUGCAAUAAAAUAAGACAGUAUACGACUAAACCAAGCUCAUAUAAUGCCUUAUGUAACUUGUACACUUUAUUUUCACUUCCUUUAAUUUCAUAGCCUUUUGGUUGCUCUACGUAUACAUCCUCCUCAAGCUUGCCAUGUAAAAAUGCAGAUUUGACAUCUAACUGAAAAAUUUUCCAGUUCCUUUGAGAUGCUAAUGCCACCACUGUUCUCACUGUCUCCAUUCUAGCUACUGGUGCAUAUACUUCCCCAUAAUCAAUUCCAUAUUUCUGCGAGUACCCUUUUGCUACCAAUCGAGCUUUGUACUUCUCAAGUUCCCCCUUUUCGUUAUGUUUAGUCUUAUAGACCCACUUAACUCCGACCUUUUUAGCUCCUGCUGGCAAGUCAACUAAGCUCCAAGUGUUGUUUUUCUCUAUAGAUUCUAUUUCGGUGUCCAUAGCUGCCUUCCAAUGCUUACUCUUCACUGCUUCCUCAAAACACAAAGGAUCACUAGACACCAUUAAGGCCAUGUUGACUUCAGAAUCAUCCUCUGAAUUAUCUACAUCUUCUCCUGUCACAUAAUCAUUAAGCCAUGAAGGGGGUUGUGUUUCUCUUCUGCUUCUUGUACCUAUAUUGUCAAUUUCUGCAUCGGGUCCAUUGUCAUUUUCACUGUUGUUGUCCACUUCAUUAUCACCAUCAUUAUCAGGACAGUCACCCCAAUCUAAGGAUCUUGAAAUGUCAUUUUCAUUACUUAUAUCCCAAUCCCACUGUUUUGCCUCAUCAAACACAACAUCCCUGCUUAUUACAAAUUUCUUGGUAAUAGGAUUAAACAACCUAUAACCUCCUUUUGUCUCAUCACUUACACCCAGAAAAAUACAAGUGUUACUUCUAUCAUCAAGUUUAGUUCUCUGUACCUCAGGCACAUGAACAUGUGCAAUGCAGCCAAACACCCGAAAAUGAUCAACUGAGGGACGCAAACCACUCCAUGCUUCUUCAGGGGUAAUGUCUUUCAAAGCUGAAUUUGGGCAUCGAUUCAACACAUGAUUACUCCAAUUAACUGCCUCGGCCCAAAAUAUCUUUGGAAUUUUCUUCUCUGAAAGCAUAGCACAUACCAUGUUCAUUACAGUUCUGUUUUUGCGCUCGGCCACACCAUUUUGCUGAGGUGUGUACGGAGCUGUUAGUUGUCUUUGUAUCCCAUUUUCUUUGCAGAAACCAUUGAAUUCGGAAGAAGUGAACUCUCCACCUCUGUCCGUGCGUAAACAUUUAACUGGCAGCCCUGUUUUAUUGCUUACUAACUUCACAAAACAUUUAAAAUUACUGAAAGCUUCUGACUUAUCAGCUAACAAGUAAAUCCAAGAUUUCCGGCUAUAGUCAUCAACAAAGCAUAAAAUGUACCUCUUAUUUCCAAGGGAGGCAGGUUUAAUUGGACCACAAAUAUUAGCGUGGAUAAGGUCCAAAAUACGUCCAGCUCUCGACAAACUUUUAGUAGGAAUCGGAUCUCGGUGAUGCUUCCCAAUAAGACAAUCAUUGCAGAUUUCGCUCGUUGCAGUGAGCUCUGGUAACCCUGUAACCAUCUUUCUAUGUUCCAAACUCUUCAGGCUUUUGUAGUUUAAGUGACCAUAUCGACGAUGCCAUAAUCGAGUUGUCUCACUUACAUUUGUGAGAAAACAAGUGUCAGUCAUAGUUGGUGAAAAUUGAGAAUGACUUUGUUGAUGUGCAUGCACUUUGAACAUCCUGUUUGCACUCAUCUGGGCUUCUAUAAUAAGUCCUCUAUCGGGAUGAUAAAUACCAUUUAACACAAGCCUCACAUUACCUCGAGCUGUGACAUUCAUUUUGCAAUUAUUCCCCAGCUUUACAGUAUGUUGGAAUCCUUCGAACAUAGUGAAGAAAGUUUUAUCUCCGCACAUAUGAUUUGAACAACCAGAAUCCAAGUACCAUGCAUCUUCUCGUUCUCUCUCGGUCUUGUCAACAUAGGCCAUUAACAAUAUAUCAUCUUCUUCCUCAACCGUUGCAUAGUUGGUUUCGUUGUUCCAAGCUGGACACUCAUACUGAUAAUGGCCUAGUUUAUGACACUUGAAACAUUCUAUAGUCGCCUUUGAAAUAACAUGUCUUCCUCUGCCCCUGCCUCGUCCUCUUGUGACACUUCCCCGUGCAAACACUCUCCCGCGUCCCCUUACAUUAUGUCCAGUAUCAUAAGACACUUUUAAAACUUGUUCCUCUUCAAUGUCCUUCUCUUUGCUAAACUUUUGCUCAUGUACCAGAAGUGAGCUUUGAAGAGCAUCAACAGAAAGGGUAUCAAUAUCCUUUGACUCCUCAAUAGAACAUGUAAUUCCAUUUUUUAGUAAGAGUCCUUAAGAUCUUCUCUACUAUUUUCUGAUCUGCCAUGUCCUCCCCAUAGUUUCGCAUAUCAUUUGCCGUGACCAUCACUCGACCAAAAUAUUCAGUAAUUGAUUCUCCAUUCUUCAUAGCCAAAAUUUCAAAACUCCUGCGAAGUCGGUUCAAUUGAGCUCGUUGAACACGGGCGUUGCCUUGAUAUUUUAACUUCAUUGAAUCCCAGAGUUGUUUCGCAGUCUCUUUCUUAGUGAUUGUUUUCAAAAUCGACUUGUCAAUGGAAGAAAACAAGUAGUUUUUGGCCUUCAGAUCCUUUAGUCUUGCCUCAUCUAGGAUCUUUUUCUCUGCAGCCGGCAAUGCUUCUUCUUUUUCAGGUACUGUAUAACCUGAUUCCACGACACUCCAGAACUCCUUUGAGCGCAGAAGAUUUUCCAUGACCAGACUCCAAUGGUCAUAGUCCCCGUCAAACCUCGGAAUGCUAGGUUGAACGUAUCCGCUAUUUGUUUCUGCACUCAUCUUCCUUUUUUUUUCUCUAACCUGGCUCUGAUACCAAAUAUUAAGUAUAAGAUCACAAUCAAAACUCUAAUAUAUCUGGAAUAAACUGAGCUAAUUUUAUUGGCAGAACUUGUGGCUAUAUAUAGCCUUACAAAGCUGAAACGAUAAAUCCUAAUAACUGGAGUUUAUCUUCAGUGAAGAUAAAGACUCAUCAAACUACUUUAUUCCUAAUGACUUAUCUGAAACAAAAUAGAGUCCUGGAGCUACAACUAGAGUCCUGUAAUACUAAAAUGAGAACAAAACAAUUCUUUCACAACGUGCCAGUAUACCAGUGAAUGUUCAUUCCUUUGGGUAAAACAUCUCCAAGAAUAAGAUGCUUAGCUUGCUUUUCCGUUAUCCAUUCUAUUUUAUUACAAUCAACUAAAGGGAGCAUUUGACAAAAGACUAUUCCUAAGGGCAAGUCCAAUGGAGGUGCUAAGAGGGAUGCUAUAUCUAUAAUAUAGCACACAUUAAAAAAUACACACUCCAAUGGGAUGCUAAAUUUCCAAUUAGCAAAAUGCUAUACCUAGUCCUAAAAUAUAGAACCAAGUGUGGAUGUUUCAAUAAUUGUCACAUAGACAUGCAAGUGGGGAAAUGGAAGGAAAUAACAAGUUUGUUAAUUUUUUGUCAUUUCAUUUAACAGGUGGUUGAGAAGUUAGCUACAUAUAGGUUAUUUGGUGUUAUUUUAAAUCUACCCAUUGGAGUAGAAGUUUUAUUUUAACAUCACAAGUCACUUUUGAUGCUAAAAUAUAACAAUAGCUAUAUGUAUUUUAGUACCACCAUUGGCCAUGCUCUUAGAUUUUUUGAUGUGGACAAUAGAAGUUUGUUUUGAAAAUGGAGUUACGGGUUGCUAUAUGCUUGUUGCUGUAUUUCGAUAUGAUAGUACGACAAGUUUUGUCAAAACGGUAGCAACCUACUAUCCAGUAUGUACUGUAAUCUAUCAAAGCUUAUUCUAAUUCUGUAAUUUGACUAUCCACUAAACAGAAAUUGGCAAAAACUUUCUGUGCUGUUCCAGGAGGUUUAUAACUAACAAAAGGUUUGGUUUACAAAUUUAAGAUACUCGGUUACUCGGCCCUAGUUGGCGCUACAAAACUUUAUUGUGCACACCCAAAACAAAGGAUAAUAUUAUAAAACAUGAUAUUAAAACUGAACACUUUCUGGCCGCUUUCAUAAAGUUUGAUAGACAUAAUAAAUGCUAUUGUAAAUAUAAUUUCAUAGAAUGUUCAUUUGCUUCUGGCAUGGCUGUGAGUCUGGUUUAUAAUCUUUCUGUUGCAUUUUGCAAGGCCCUAAUUACAUAUUUAUGUUCUGUCAAAAAAUAUGCAGUGCUCGGUUCAGAUGUGAUUUAUAGUGAGGAAGCAGUGAUAGAUUUGAUUGAAACAUUAGUAGAACUUUGUGGACCCCAAACAACGAUCAUACUGGCUGGAGAACUUCGAAAUGGUAGGAAUGUCAGAUUUAGUACUCAAUAUCGUAGGGAUAUAUCUAUGCCAGGUAGUAAAAGACUUGUAUGUUUGCAGAUGCCAACCUAGAAUACUUCUUAGAAGCAGCGAUGAAGGUGUUUGUCGUAGGUCGGAUUGGUCAAUCACAGUGGCAUCCAGACUAUUGCAGCUCCCGUGUAGUCAUGUAUGUUCUGGUAAAAAAGUAACUGUAGGGGCAGGAUUAAGAUUAGCAAUGACAGACAUAAAUCUUAGCUAAGCCAUGCAAGAUCGUUAUUCUUGAUAAAGUUUUUGACAAUCUGCCUGGUCUAUUCUCGAACUGUCUAAGAGUUAAUCAUCCCAGCAAGAUUCACAUGGUUGAGAGAAAUUAUCAAUUUUUUCUUUUACAUGCCAAUUUGUUGCUGGAUAUGUAGUUGCCAUUUUUAUUUUUAUUUUUAACAUUUAUGUAUUUUUUGCACAAGACUUUACUUGAAUUUAGCCACCCCUGCAGUUCCAGGAUUGCUUCUCCAUACAAGCACAUAGUUACCAGUUGGUUCUCUACUUCUCUCAUUGCUGCUACUUCUAUAAUCUCGAUCUAGAGAUUGCCUGAUGUGAUUGUUUUAAUCUGACAAUUAGCUGUAUGUCUCUUACUCAUGUUAACCAAAAAAAAAAAAACCUAGCAUGUGAAUUCAAAUUUGUGGUUUGUAGUUUGUGCACAAGUCCCGGUCGCCUGAAAGGAACAUAGAAAGGGUUCAGCAUACUAUAAUGUUGUAGACUUGACAAUUUGGUUCAUGAUAACAUAAUACCUACACGAAAUUAGAUGAUGAAUUUCAUGUCAAAUAUGAUUUUUUGUAUGUCGAUAUAUAAAAAUGAUAGAUAUAGAUAAUAUUUAGAAAAUAAUAUUAAAUAUUAUCAUAUAAAUAUUAUCUAUAACUUGAUUCAAUUGGAUUAAUUGAUAUGAUUUUUACAAUCAAGUUUCAGCAAACAAUAUUUAUAGUCAUGAUUACGUAUUUAUAAAGUGUCUUAUAUAUAUAUACAUUUUACACCUCUUUGUAAUACCCAUUUGUUAGUGGAUUAUGCAGCACUCCGUUCACUGUUAGUCAUCCCACCUUUACAAACAAUAGCACCCAGAAAUUAUCAUUCUCCAUAAAAUUAAAACAAAAAGUUGCUUAUUGUCAAAAAAAAAAAAAGUUGUUUUGACAAUAAUUCCCUUUUUAUCUUAUUUAAUUAUUAUUAUAGGAGAUUCAAGUUGUCUUGAAAAGCUUAUGAGCUGCCACAUAAUUUCUAAAAAAAGGGAAGUUUAAAACUUGAUUCGAUUAAAAAAUAAUAUAAAUUAGACUCCAGUCAAAAACAACGAGAGGUUUGUUUCCAACACAGGUUACAUUUUCUUUCUCCUGAGGUGUAAUAAUACAAAACUAAAUUAUAUUACAAAGAUACAAGCACUUUUACAAAUUCAAAUCAUAGCUUGGUUUUGUUAAAGAAACCAAGGUAAGAAAACCAAGGAGACAAAGAGAAACCUACAUAGAAAGGGUAUCCGCUAAAUAGUGAGAAAAACAAUAGAAACCUAACAAUCAGGGGGGUUUUUGAUGAUAAGCAAGAAAUGAUUUAGCUAGCCAAGUGGUUGGGACAGCUCUCGAACAUGGAGUGCCACAUAUAUGCUCUCGAAAGUACCACCUCAAGCUCCAUAUAAGUCCAGUUUUGGGUUGGGAGGUGUUGAAGGAACAUUACCAUCUCUUGGAAAUCAAGCUGGAGGAGCUUAUCCGACCACUGGAAGUUGAGAGACAAAAACAUAAAUAUAAACAUAAGACCCAAAACUGUUCACAAAAUUGUGAUGGGCUAUAUCUUAAUAGUACAGAAUUGUUGCUAACUCUUAUUAAACAGAAGUCACAGUUCUAUUCACGCGUCCACAACAUCACUAGAGAUGUCUAUAAAACACUUCCAUAUAAGUUAUUUAAUCUUAGACUAGUCGAGCAAUUAAUAAUUUACUUACCGUUAACAAAAAACUGGCGAAUAUAUAUACUAGGAAAUCUGGCAAUGCAUCUCCUUCAGCAAGAUAUGUGUCCCACAAGCGGUUAAUAAGAUGGAAAGGAAUCUAGGAAAAGAAAGUAACAUGUUUGUUAGUCAUUUCAUUAUACUACAAAUCCACAGAGCAUUAAAAGAUGUAUUCAUCUAGUCUUUAAACUAUCAUAUUUGUAUUCAACAUACUAUGCUUAACAUGUUACUUCUCUUUUCUGCUAAAUCCUUAACAUAUCACUUCGUUGCACCUAUCACUUCAAAGCCAUAACUUUGUAAUCUAAUGACUUUCCUGAGAUUACCCCAGGAAUUUAGGAUACUCAUCUGAGGGAAGUAGGCAACGGAUUUGAACGAAAACGUACAUGUUCUUAUUAUACGGUAUUAUGUUGUCUAAUUUGUUUCCAUCUUUGCUACCUUUUAAACAUCACAAUAUACAUGCAUUUUACUACACAGUCGUUUCAUUUGAUUACCCCCCAGGAACAUUAUUUUAUAUACAUAUACGUACACACACUAGCUUAUAGCCCAUGCGACGCACAAGUGACUUGUAGUAUUUGUUUUUUAAUGUAUAUGUUUUAAUAUUUAAUUUGGUUUCGAAGACAUAUUUAUGUUAGAGAAAUAUACGUAUUUUAAUCAAAAUAGGUUUUCAAAUAGAUGAUUUGAGUUUAUAUAUUUUUAUUUGACAUGCUAAAUGAGUUUUUAAUAACUAAGCUCGCCAAAAAAUAUACAAAUAAAAAGGCCCAAGAGAUAUCUUUUAACGUGAUGUUCUGGUGUGUUUUAGUUGUAAUAAAAAAGACCAAUUAAAACAUGUCAUAAAAUAGAAAGGCCCAUAAACCAACUGACCGACCAAAACUUUCAAUAUUUCGGUUUUAACAGAACAGUAUAGUAUAGUGUGUGUGUGUGUGUGUUUAUAUGUAUAUAUAUUCUGCAUUUGUUACCUGAUCUUUUAGUUAAUAAGAAGGCUUAUUUUAAAAAUAUACGAAUUAAAAGGUUUUAUGUACAACAAAAUAGUAUUUCAUGGUUUUACACACAACAAAGUAAUAUGCCGAGAAUAUAUCAUCAGACAUACAAAAUUUUAAAUUUAAAACAUAAUUAGAAGAAAUAAUCUCUUAAGCCAAAAAAAUAUUGAAUCCAUUCAGGCUGUUAGAUUAUACUUGUGCCAUCCGAUCCGAAGCACAACAAGUAGUAAUGCAAACUCUAAGAAAAACUGCAUAGUGAAGACUGACUACCAUAUUAGUACUCUUCAAGUUCAGAAUUUUUCCUAAAUUUUUUCUAUACAAAAUUAUCAUAAAUUGGUAACCAUCAUCUUUAAUUUCAAUUGGUCGGCACAAAGACUAUUAUGUAUCGAAUCAUUUGGCCGAGAAGUGGACACUUGCCAAUUAGAAGACCAUAUAUGAGUUUAACUUAAGAUGACAAACUAAAAAAGAAGAAAAAAAGUCACCUCAUUUGCAAAGUAAUUUACAAAAUCAUUAAGAGUAUAGUAUAAUUGUUAAAUAUUGCUACGAAUUUUCAUCCUAUAUACUUUUUUGAAUACGGUGCGUAAAUAUCAGAUAUCACAAGUCACGCACUCAGACAUGUCUCAGUGUUUAACACUGUACACCCAAGUUGGUGACAUAGUUGAUGGUGCUAUGUUCAGAAUAUGUAAAACUUUAAUACCUUAUGAUGCUUACAAGGAUCUAUCCAACGACAAUCCACUAUAUGCUUUGAUCUCGUCCUACAUUUUUGCCAAUAAAAUAAUCCCAUGAACUAGAAUUGAUUUAAUGUAUCUCCUGGAGGAUUAUCAUUAUACUACAGAGAGGGUGUGGUUAAAACAAUACCCUAAAUUGAGAUAAAAAGUGAUAAUGAAAAAAAUGGCUUGCAUGAUUAAUUUACAGGAUCAAGUAUGGGAAAAUGAGAAGCAUAUAGAAGUCCUCAAUUUCUAAUCCUUAUAAGCCAACUUAGCCUGUGUUAUAUUUAUCAUAAGGAAGGAGUAACAAAAAAAAUAUCAAGAAGUAAUACAUAAUUUGGGAAAUUGGGAAAAAGGAGACGAACCUCACGUAUCAGAAGACAAUUGAACCAGCGGAAAGCAAAUUGAAGAAAUUCAAGACCUUGCUCCUCCAUGUGUCUUGAAACAGGCUCUGUCAAAAAAUUAUAAGCAAUUCAUUCAUCAUCAAUAAGCUAGUUCUAAAUAUGAUGGGAGAUCGUGAAUUAAAAGAAAUCUAUAUAUAUGAAUUCUAAGAACAUAAAAACUAUCAACAUGCAGAAUCAAGAACAGAUCAAAGGAAAAAGACUUGAAAAAAUAUAAUAUAUAAUAUCAAUUUUCUAUACCAUGUAAACUGGCAAAAGUAAGCAGACUACGCAUAAUCAUUCGGCACAUGCAAAUUAGAGUCUGCAAUGUAUGGAUCCUCUUACCACUUCAGUUACGUACUAAAGGGGCUUGCUACAACAGAGAGAUUCCUCACUAGCAUACAGAAACUAUCCUUUAAUGUAAACACACCAUGCCAAAUUGAUCAGAAAUUCACCAAAAAGAACCCCCCCCCCCCCCCCCCCCCCCCCCCCCCCCCCCAACCAACCCAACAAAUUAACGCACCUUAGGGUCCUCCAGCGAUCACCACAAUUAAAGGUACGAAAAUUUAAAAACAAAAAUUAAAAUCUAAAUGAUGUGCCCUAAGUGUAAAAAUGCAUGAUGCAACACAUAUUUAAUUCUAACUACUAUUUUUGGAUUUUAAAUUUUUAAUCGUUUUUAUGAUUUUCAAUUUUUAAAUUUGUUUGUGANNNNNNNNNNNNNNNNNNNNNNNNNNNNNNNNNNNNNNNNNNNNNNNNNNNNNNNNNNNNNNNNNNNNNNNNNNNNNNNNNNNNNNNNNNNNNNNNNNNNNNNNNNNNNNNNNNNNNNNNNNNNNNNNNNNNNNNNNNNNNNNNNNNNNNNNNNNNNNNNNNNNNNNNNNNNNNNNNNNNNNNNNNNNNNNNNNNNNNNNNNNNNNNNNNNNNNNNNNNNNNNNNNNNNNNNNNNNNNNNNNNNNNNNNNNNNNNNNNNNNNNNNNNNNNNNNNNNNNNNNNNNNNNNNNNNNNNNNNNNNNNNNNNNNNNNNNNNNNNNNNNNNNNNNNNNNNNNNNNNNNNNNNNNNNNNNNNNNNNNNNNNNNNNNNCCCCCCCCCCCCCCCCCCAAGGUCAAUCCAAUACCAAUUUAAACAGUUCAGUGAUGGAUCCAUUAAUUUAAUGGUGUCUAAUUUCGGAUAGGGCUUAUUUUGGUUAAUUACUAGAAAAUUUCUCACUUUCCCCUCUAGAAUCCCAUUGUUCCUUCUUCAUCUACAAUUAGUAGCUUAACUUAUUCCUUUAAUCUUUGCAACUUUAAAUACUCUUUCAUGUAAUUUUAUUUAUAAAUGCAUACACAUUUUCAUAUACAUGGCAAUAAUGCUGAGCUAUAAUAUAGACACAUACACGUUUUAUAUACAUGGCAUAAAUGUAGAGCUAUUAUAUAGACACUUCGAAAUCUCAAACAUCUACCAAAAACCUUGAUAUACAUGUUGAUGUAUAUUUCAAGAAUUUCACCAAGAACAUCAGAUUCUGCAGAAAACUCUUUGACAGUAGACGUCCAAAUACAAAAUCUGUUUGACUGGCAUGUGUAACAACAGAAUAGGCGCAAAAGCCUAAUGCUUUCAUAUUUGUCUUAGGUUAAAAAGUUCAGUGUCCAAUAGUUACAUACUUACAAAUAAUUUGGCUGAGAACAUCAUAUCCGAUUCGGGUCAAGUUUCUACUUGCAGGCUUUAGAGUUGGUUAGAACUACAUAUUUUGAAAUCUCUUCUGUUUUCACUAGAGCCCUUCUUUUUAUUAGGUUCAUUUUGUGCUUACACACUUGGCUACCCUCUUCCGAAAGCUCAGCUCAAGCUACCACUAGUCUUUGGCCCGCACCACCCAGGAUACGAGCCACCCGAGAAGAAAGCUAUUACAGCGAGCGGCUGCAGCAGUACCAGACCCAAAUCAAAGUGAUAACAGAUUAUUGGAAUUUCAUUCCAACCAAAUUCUUGAGGGCUUCCGAAUUAAUUUUUUUCCCAAUUUUAGUAUCCUGUCAUUUUCUUUCGUUGAAUGCAAACAUCAUGAAUUAGGAUUGGGGGGGGUCACUUUGUAUGCAGAGUGUUCUUUCUUUUCUGUCUCUCCUCUUUUACAACUCUGUAACUACUUCUAAGUCCAAGAUAUUGCACCUUAAAUUUCCAUCUUCUAAAUUGCCAAUCCUUUUUUCUGUUUUGUUAAUGGAUGAGCCUUACAAAAUCACCUCUCUCUUGAUAAAAGUGAGCCUGUCCAUUACUCCCUCCGUCCCAGCCAUUUGUAUACAAAUGGUUGGGACACGGAGACCAAGAAUUGUGUAUAAAAUGAGUAAAGUUAGAUGAAAAGUGGGUAUAGUGGUGGGACCCAUUUAUAUUUAAUAAUAGAUUUGAGAUAGUGGAGGAAAGUAGUGGGUGUAAUAGUGUUUAUAUUAUUAUAGAAUGGAGAUAGUGGAAGCAAGUAGUUGGUGUAAUGAUAUUUUAUAUUAUAAAAGUUUACUACUUUUGGAAUGUAUACAAUUGGUGGGACGUCCCAAAAGGGAAACUGUAUACAAUUCAUUGGGACGGAGGGAGUAUUAUAAUAAAUAACCUCUUUAAAAAACCAAAAAUGUGAAAAUACUGUUUUGCAACAACAAUUUAAUAAUGUAUAUAGUUAAUAUAUGUUAAGGUACUGAAUCAGGCAAGUUAUAGUUAAAAUAAUUACAAAGGGGAGGGGCAAGAAAAAAACACAUACCAUCAAUGCGUCUAACCAACUCCUUUAGCUUAAAAACUAGUCUCUGAAUUCCCGGUUGAGCAAAAGUGUAAUGAUCUUGCAUGCCCUCAAGCAACUUUGAUAGGCACCAAUAGCAAUCAGCUUCAAUAUUAGAUAUAUCUUCUACAGAUAGAUUGAGCAUUGACCACUUAUCCAAACUCUCUUCUAAGUGCUCCGACAAGAAAACAACUAGAAAAGGGGUAAGAAGAUCAUUUAUUCCCUGAACAUAUCCGCUUGCAGGAUGCCGAAUUGCCCUGUGUAGGAAAGAAACCACAUAAACAAUUAAUUUAAGAAACAGAAAAAGGAUGUUUCGGACAUGACAACAUUGUUCUGAGAGUACAUAUUACACAUCUUUCUUUCAAGAGAGUAAGAAUCAUGUUUGUAGUGUAUGUAUAAUACACUAUUUAUGACUAUCGUGUCCUUGUUAAGCAUCACACUAUGCAGGACAACAAUGGAAAAGAAUGGAAAAACAAAAGUAAGAAAGAUUUGGUGGAUUUACAGUAGAAAACCCACAAAUCCUAAGGUAAUCCGUGAUUCAACCUCAUAAGAACUAUUACACCUAGGGUCUCUAAGCGCAAUACUAGGAUAUCUAAACCGUAGAAGGGAUGAAUUGGAAUCCGUAACAAGAGAGCAAUCGCAGUUCAAUAUCUUCCAAAAUAAAAGAUCACAUCUGUUAUAUAGAAGUGAAACCCCCAAACUUAACCCCACAAAAAAAAUGUAAAAAUAAUUAUAGUAAAGCAAACGAAUCUUUUACUGACAGGGUAUAUAUUUAUAUACAUGUACAUACAUAUAUAUAUAUAUAUAUAUAGGCUCAUGAUCAAAUAGAAACCACUUUUAAAAUAAAAACUAGAAACCAAUACAAGUUAGUGAUAUUCUCAGUACAAUUUAGUGAUAUUCUCUUUACGAUUUAGUGAUAUGUGUUGCACGAAUUAGUGAAAACUUGCAGAAACUGCCCAGAAUUUCUGAAUCUGUUCUAGUUGCCGAUUCAGGUGGUGGUUGCGGUGGUGGAGAUAAUGGAGGUGAAGGUGGAGAUGGAGGUGGUGGACAUGGAAGGAGCCUUUAGCUUUGUCCGGCAGAUUUUUGGCAAAGAUCUGGAAUUUAAAUCGGCAUUAAGCUAGAUAUACGGUACUGUAGGUGAGGAAGACCGAGGUGGAGGUGAGGACGAAGGUGCAGGUGCUGGUGGAGGUGGGGGUGGAAUGGAAGGGGCGGUGGAGGCCGGAGGGGGGUUGGAUUUGGUGGUGAUAUAAAUAAUGGAGGCCGACAUGGAGGUGGUGGCUAUGGAGGGUCGGGCAGCAUGGAGGUGGAGAGAGUAGCAAAGACUUGGCGGGGGUGGUAGGGUGAAGCUGCCGGAAGUGGGGUGGAGGGUUGGUGGGUUGGAGAAGAAGAAGGAGAAAGUGGGGUUGUUUAAGAAUUUAGUGAUAUUCUCUUAAAAAUUUAGUGAUAGUUUCUAGUUUCUAGAAUAAGGAGGUUUCUAUUGGAGUAAAACUCUAUAUAUAUAUAUAUAUAUAUAUAUAAUUUUAUUCUCAUAUUUAUAAUACUUUGUAUUAAUCAGAUUAUUUAAUUAGAGUUUAAUGUUUAUAGCCACUGAUAUGCAAAUCUGAAGUUUGGAAGAAAUUGAGCAAUUGGGGCUUAAUUUCGACUUUUUUUGACAAACAAAUGAUUUUAUUAAGACGAAACGCUUAACAAGACAGAUAUUGAAACCCUGCUGGGACAAAUCCCCGAACUGUCAACUACAAUCUGAUUGUGAAACAAAGAACGAACUGAACAAAUAAUCGUUCUGUUUUCAGAUCACUUAACACCUAGAAUAUUCAUAUUCUCUGAUCUAAAAAGUAUUACAAUGAUAUCUCGAGCAAUCCAACCUACAUCAGUUAUGAAACUAGUAGCUUCGCAAUUGACCUUCACAUAAGCAUCAUCUAUAGCUCAAUGUUCAGAACUAUCAGUCAAAUCAACUGAUCCUGGAGCACCAAAUGUCCCCAAAACAUGAACAAUUUUUUGUUGUGAAAGGUAAGCUCUUGCGGUAUCCACCAUCGUCUCAAAAUCGAUGCGAGUCUUACAGAUUUCCCAAAAUACCGUAUAGAUCCUUUUCAGAAUGAUAACCGAAAGACAUACCAAGACACAUAAGAAUAACAAAAUAGAACAGAUUGACAUCACAAGAAGAUGGGCACACACCGACAUCCCAAAAAUAUGGGCACAACUAACAACCUUGAUAACAAGGUACUCAACAAGAUCUAAUCCAAACAGAUUAGAUCUGGGUUUUAUUGAAAAACUGGUAAAAUAAUAGAGGGGAUAAGAGAGCGAAGAGGUUAAUUGGUGAGGGAGAUGAAGAUCUCGAAGGCGGAGAAGUGACGGCCGAAACCAUGAUAAGGGAGUCGACUCUCAAAACAAGGGAGGAUAGAAUUGUGCAAAUUUAAAAGAUAAGAUGACUUAAUUUCGACUUAAUUAAGAGGAACUUCGGAUUUACUGGACAGCUCAUGAUCUAGCAUCAUUGUUUGGGCCAUAGUUGGAGCUCUAAAUCUAUCAUAAUUAAGCAAUUUUACAGCCCACUCUAAGAUAAUGGAAUUAUCUUCAAUUCUAAGGUGGUCCAACAUAAAAAAUCCAACCGGAGCAGCCCUAGGUUUUUUAAAUGUAAUAAUACUUGUUGACUAGUAGCCAACUAAAGCGCCGUGAUAACCAUGCCAUAAAGUUUCAUCAAAUUUUUGACUAGCUUCAACAUACCGACUAUUGCCAUUUUAUUAAAGUACAUCGGUCCAUCUUGGGUCCAUAGUUCCACAAUUACAGUAUUGGGUAUAUGAGAUUCAAAACAAUCAACCUAUAUAGUUAAAGUUCAAUAUAGUUGUUUUGUUGAACCUUAUUUAUUCUCAAUAGAGUCCCAAACAUGUAUAUUCACGAGUUCUACACAAUAAAAUAAGUUAUUAAUUUGGAUGUACGCAACAACGAACUCAACUAAAAAUAUAGCAAAAUAUAUAGAAAGAUUAUUUUCUAACCAUGUGUAAAGUAUCCUCUCCAACGAUUUUUGAACUUCUGCUUGUUGAAAAAAAGCAACAUCGGGUACAGUUCUAGGGCAAUCAACAGAAAUCUAAGAAAGAAGUUAAAAGAUGAUAAUUUUUAAAUGAGGCUCAGAAAGAUAUAGGCAGAAAAUGUAAGUAUACCAGUCCACAUCUAUAUUACCUGACGGAGCAUGUUAAUUUCUUCAUCGGUACGUUCAUUAUCUGAAACAUCAUAAUAUCGUGCAACACAAUCAAGAUAUUCGAGCCGCUUUCUUCUCAAAACACCCUCCCUUCUAUCUGAAUUAGGGGGUGCAUAUCCCUGUUGUCAGUUCUUAUUUAAUUAAAAAGUCGCAUCAGGAUUAUGCUUAUAAGUGUACAUCUACAAAAAAUAAGCUGCCUAUUGAAGAAGAAUUUAUUUUUCAGCUCACACUACUUCAAAUUUUAAUUUCAAACUUUCAAGUAUACCAUUCUUCUAAGUAGUUGUCAUCUUUCACAUUUUCAUGGCAAACCAAGACUACAGGGGUUGAAGUCCCCUGACAUGCAAAAGAAUCAGAAAGAUCGACAAAACAAGAUGUGAAAGCAACACAUUGCUACUGUUUGGAAUAUAUUUGAUAAUUAAGAUUAGAGGUGAAAUAGGAAAUUUACCAAAAGAAGCCUCCAUACAGAGGGACGUAGAUAUGGUGGGACACCACUCCACGCCAACUCCCGCAACUUAUCUGUACAAGAAACAUGAGCAGGAAGGAGAAAUAUAAUUAAUCCCCAUUAAGAAAUGGCAAAAUGACACUUUAUUAAGCAGCUGGCCCAAAGCAUAAACUCAAUACAAGAGAGACAUGGACAUGCCGAGGACAUAGGGAACUGUCUCUGCAGUUUAGGUGCUACUCUACAGUCUGUAAUCUAUCACUGUGCAACCCACAAAUGGAUAACGUAUGGCAUUCAAUCCAAGUAACAAACUGUCUGCAAAUAAAAACUCAUAAAGAUUUUGAGCUCUUCCAUGGGUUAAAGGUUAAAACUUACAAUAGACAAUUAUUUCAUUCAGACUAGCAAAAUAACUCAUAAACUAUCACCAAACACAACUCUGCAAAGCUUUACGACAUCAUCACAUCACAUAAGUCACUUGUACAUAUAUAAUUUUUACAUGUAUGCUAUGUUACCCCGACUCUUCAUUUUGUCUGAAGUACCCGUGUCGAACACUUGACACUCGGACAUGGGUAUGAACACUCCGACACUUAUUUUAGGCCAAAAACAUGUAAAAUUUUCAGAAUAUUGCCGAGUCCGACACUCGGACACGUAUCCAUGUUGGACACUUUUAGCCGAGUCCAGGUAACAUAGCAUGUAUACAUAACUUACUAUACAAACUCAUAGAGCUUAUUACGAUAGUGUGAGCAAUAAAUACCCAAGAUGACUGCUGGUGCAGAUAACUCUUUAUUAAACUUCAUUAUCCUGGCUGAAUCAGUAGCUCUGGCACCCAUUGUGGACUUCUGCACCUCUUUGGUUGUACCCUCAUUAGUUGAAGUUGAAGUUUUUAAUUUGCUAUUAUCUGAAUCGGUGUUUGUCUUGCUUCCAGAACGAGCUUCUCUCUACAUUUUACAGUUAUGGAGAAGUAAAACAAAAAUGAUAAGACAUAGAUCUUAAAAACACAAACAAUCAUAUAUAAAUCUGUAUCAGCUUCUAUAUAACAGAAGAAUCAUUAUCAACAUUACCUCGACGAAAUCAUCCAUGUUAUAACUUGGUCCACUAUUAGUAUCUGAAGGACUCCUAAUGCCUGGGGACGGCAAAGUUGGGUAAUCAAUUGGAUCUGUUCUCCUUGUUAUUAAAACUUUUCCGGGAAAGCUGCGGCCUUUAAGCAACCUAUACCAACAUUAAAAUGUAAAGAAAUACAAAAUUUAUAUAAGGUCAGCGGACGGACAUGAUUGAUUCAACCUGAUUAUAAGGCAUUCGUGACAAUCUAAGUUCCACUUAACUAAUGUGUAAUGGAAAACUAAACAACCACAAGUUGAAUAGUCCUAUGCUUUAUAGUACUUGAUAAGUAGGUAGGUUCAAGUUUUACAAUCACUGGUAUACGAUUGCAAUGUGAUACUCCCUUCCCCCUCAAUUUUCAAUGAAGUAAUUAACAGAUAACUGCGAAGCAAAUGUAGUAUGUAAUCCGCAAGUCCAACAAAAGUGAAAAAAGACUCUAACGAUCAUUUUCAGAGAUCAUAAUAGCACACCAAUUAAGAACAUAUAAUUGCAUAGCAUAAUUUAAAAAAAGGCAUAAACACAUACAUAGUAGCAGAAAAACAUAAUCAAGUAGACAAUUAAUCAAACAGUCAGUGUGCAAGCAGCUGAAAGAUCCACAAUCAGAUCAAAAAAUAAAACCCUAGAAAUCAAAGAUCAGCAAGUUUUACCCAAAUGGGUAGUCAAAUCUAAUCUAAUAAAGCUUAUCAAACAAAUUACCCUUGAACAUUUCGAAGAGUUUGGUUGAAUCUUGAAUCGAUACUCGAAAGUGGAGAAGUUGGAAUUGCGGAAUGAUUAAGAUUAAGAUCUUCUUCUUCUGCUUUUUUGUUCAUGAUGCCGCUGUGAUUUUCAUGGUGUUAUGUUCGUUUCUCCUUCAUUUGUACACGCCGUGUCUACUAUCACCCCCACUACAAUUCUUACUUUCGGAGAAUUUUACAAUUUUUUCCCCUUCAUGAUCUUUUUAACUUUUUGUAAGAAUAAGUUUAUUCUAAAAAAAAUUAUAAACAUACAGUAUUAUGGGUCGUUCGGUCAUGCUUAAAAUAAGUGAAUUUUUGCUUAAAAUAAAAAAGUUGCUUAGAAAUGAGAAGUUGGUUUUUUAAAUGUUUGGAUAACUUAUACGUUGGUAUAGUUUCGUAAAAUAUGAUAAUUUGUUUCCUAUAAUAAAUAGAUUAUGAUAAUAUAAGACCUUUUAUUAUUAAUACAUGAAAUAUUUUACAAAUACAAAUUUUUAAACUCUGCAUUAAAAGAAAAAAUUGAUAACUGUAGAUAAUACAAGUAAAAAGGUACAUCAUUUAUUUAAUACUAGCUGCAAUUUCAUCACGUUUUGCAUCCAAAUUUCAUCGUUAUUGCCUUCUCUGUCGGAUUCUCCACAGUAAAUAUUGGUGCUUGAAGUUGAAUUUUUCGCCAUACAAGCUUCUUUUUCAACAGUUUGAAAAGCGUUAUCUCCAACUAGGGCUGUCAAAAAAAUCCGAAUCUGUCCGAAAAAUCCGCCACCGUAUCCGAGAAAAAGCGAAUAUUUUUCGUAUCCGAGAAAAAACGGAUAUUAUUUGUAUCCGAAUCCGUGAUAUUCGAAUCCGAAACUAAAUACAUAUUUGAUAUUUAAAUUAUAUAAUAUAUAAUUAUACGUAAUUAAAAUUUUAUGCUAUUAGCUUGUAGUGUGUGUAUAUGCAUUAAAUAAUACAUUUAUACAAACUUUAUAUAAUUAUACAAAUACUAAAAUACUUUAUACAUAUAUAAAAUAAUCAUUUGAGCUUAGUUAUAAAAAAAAUUGUUCGAAAAUCAUCGUCGAUACGGUAUGACCAUCAAAAAUAUCCGACACCCGUCCGAAAUAUCCGCACCCGUAUCCGGGAAAAAGCGGAUAUUAUCCGUAUCCGAAUUAUCCGUUUGACAGCCCUAUCUCCAACAUUUGAUUUCUUAAUAUAACUAUGAACCGUCGUUGUAGCCAAAACGAUAUUUGUUUGCGUAGUUAUUGUAUACAUUGCCAUAUUUGCUAAAAUAGCAAUUAAUCUAGCUUUCCACACUCUAAAUGUCCGCUCGAUAACCAUUCUACACGAUUAAUGUAAAUGAUUAUAUCUUUUGUUUGCAUUUUGCGGUUCACGUGUGGUACCCUUAGCUCAACGAAAAUCUUGUAAAUGAUAUCUUAUUUUUUGAACCCUUUUAUAGAGUCAUAUAUCCUUCUUUACGUGCAUAACCUGCAUCAACAAGAUAAUAUUCAUUUCCGAUUGGAUGUGGAAAAUUAAGUUCAGGAUUAAUUCUAGCCUCGUUCAAAAUACGACUAUCAUGUGCUCUGUCUUCCCAACGCGCUCAUGCAGUAAAACACAAGUUAAAUUCGCAUACGGCAAGAAUAUUUUGAGUGACAUAUCUUUUGCGACUAAAAUAUAAUGUGCGUUCUGAUUCCGGUACGCAAGACAUUUAAUAUGUGUUCCAUCAAUAGCUCUGAUGGCAUCUUGUACUUAGUACAAAUAUAUUAAAAAUAACAUAAAUUAAUGGGUUCAUUUUCAACUAAAUUAAAAUAUCACUAUAAUUAUUACUAUGAAAUGUGGAUAAUAUUUACUUUGUUGAGGUUUAUGAAACUUCGAUCUAUCGUUAUAGUUUGAAGUCGGUGUUAUGUAAUCCCUUGCCAUUCGACGCAGUGCUUCCAAAACAAUAUGAAAAUGGCGGCUAAUUGUCCCUCCAGAAUGGUUGAACGUCUCUUGCAUUACAGCAUUACACGAUUACUUGUCCCGUGAGUAAUGGUCAUUAGGAACAUAUUGACUGCCUCGUAUUGUGACAUCCCACGAAACAAAUAAAACACUAUUCAUUCGAAAAUCUCAAUAACACCGGUUAUCAUUUCCCUCCAUAAUUUCCUAAAUUAAUAUUGAUCUGGUGCGAAUUGAAGUAUGACAUGGCUCUUUCUUUAAGAACGUGUCAUAGUAAUACACCAAAGUAUAGACAGCGGUUGUACUUACAGUUUUCCAUUCACGUAGAUUUUGUUCACUUUCUUCAUCUUCUUCGUCUUCUUCUUCAUCUUCUUCUUCAUCAGCCAUGUGUUGGUUGUUUGUGUUGGGGUACUGGCCUUCAAAAAGAUUAGAAGACUGACAAAAUUGGUUGUUUGCGUUGGGGUACUGACCUUCAAAAGGAUUGGAAGACUGACCAAAUUGGUUGUUUGUGUUGGGGUACUUACCUUAUAAAGGAUUGGAAGACUGACCAAAAGGAUUGAAGCUACCAGAAGAAUGAUUUGCUUCAUUAGAAUACCGAUCAAAUUGAUAAUUUGGGUGCAUUGAAAGGAUUAUGGCAACUAGAGAAUUACCCAAACUGAUUAUUUGGAUUGAAAUGAUCCAUUUGUUUGAAAUAAAAGCACAGAUGCAUUUGUAAUAUGUAUACACGGAUGCAAUGUUAAUGUUGUUAACAUGUGAAGGAAUCUAACUGUUGACAUGUGAAUAAAAGAAAAUAAUUCAUAACAAGUUAGAAAUCCACAGUACAAAGGAAACAGUACAAAGGCAAAUAAUUCCUCACUAGAAGUUCAAUGACAAAUCUUAUCCUGACAAUUCUUGUCUAGGCAAAUCUCUAAAUUACAAAUUUAAAGAUACACCGGAACACAAGCACCUAUCCAUGGACCACUAAAUUUUUUAAACGCAAACAGAAUCUAUUCAUACCGGACUUGGUUGUUCGGUGCUUUCAAGAGAAAAACCUCGAUUGUUCUUGUUAGCCAGAAAUUUUUGCCCUGCAAAAUUAUAUAACUCACUGCCAGGAACAACUUGUUCCAUACUAUUCAGUAUGUCAAAUACUGCAUUCGAGGCGGUAUCUUCAUUAGCUGCCUUCAUUUGUGCAACAAUUGUUUGUGUGCUCCUCGAUGACAUAGUAGAAAAGAUUCAAAAUUGAAUAAGACCAAUCUGAAUCACAUCUCAAUCCAAUAUUCCAAUCACAAAACACUAACCAUAUCAGGAACACAAAUAAAAAGAAAUGAAAUAUAAUUGAAUUCUAAUCAGCAAAUUCACAUAAAUUAAAAGGUACAAAACUUGACUUGUCACAAUUAAAUGGCAAUCUGCAUGUCACAAACACAUUUGUAGAAGGAACCUAGGAGUAAAUGCAAAUAUAGACCAUCAUACAGGCACUUACAACAGAUUGCUAGUAUAUAGAGAUCGAAUCAAUAAACAUAUCUAGAAUUGAAGUUAUUUACAUAUAUAUGUCAGAAAUUCAUUACCCUUGACGGAUGAGAAGGAGAGAUGCAGGUUUAAAAUCGAUUACCACAAGUGAUUUGUUAAUUAAAGAGUAGCUACGAGAAGUAGAGAGGUGGGAGAAUAGCGCCGCUGAAAGAGAGAUCCGCGAGUUCGUUUUCUGUUAGAAAGAAGCUGAAGCUGAGUCCCAAAAAAAAGCUAGGUUUCGUAGCUUUUUUUUCUGGGCUUCUUUUGGUUUAAUUAAGCGCUUCAGAACAUUUGCCAAACGGACGUAUAAAAAAAAGAGGAAGUGGGCUUCUACACAGUUAAGCCCAGAAGUUAUAUUCCCAAACACCCACUAUUAUUUGAUAACUUUUUUCCAAAUUUACAAUGCCGCAAUCAAAAUCAAAAACUAACAUAAUCGAUAACAAAUUCAAUUUUUUUUCGAAAAAAUUACGCUUGACUGUAUUUGGUUGCAAAUCGUAUAAACAAUUGUGUUCAGUUAUUUUUAAAUACAUGCAACAUUUUAUCAAAUAUUUUUAAAAUAUAGUAUGAUAAGAAAAAAAAUUAAAAAAUAAAACUAUCAAAUUUUUUGUAAAUUCCAUCAUUAUUUAAUAUAUUUACUCAACGUGUUGGAUCUAUUAGAAUGUUUGAUGGUUCUUUCUAUGAAAGAUGAAAUCAUGUGCAAUGAAUUUGUAUUGGCUACCUUUAAUGAUAGUCGACAAUUCAUAGAAUAUAUAUUGGAUUCAUCGGAUGAGUCUAUUGAGCAUGGGAUUUACGAAACUCCAUUGCACAAUCGGUGACCUAUUUAGGUGCCAAGAUGAUUUCACUUGCAAGUACAUUAACUCAAGGAGGCUCAUUGAGUGUGAGGGAAACACCAACGGAAUUUGUUACUUAUAACCCUACAUCUAAACCAAGAAAUUCGAGUGAAUUGAGUGCACACCUACAGAAUCCACCUUAUAACCAAAACCCCUACACCUGAAUUAGUUUCAAUUAUAUCACUUGCUAAAUUUGAUGCUAUGCAAUUCAAAGUAUCACAUCUUCAACAGAAAAUGUAGCACUGAAAGUAGAGGUUUCUGAACUCAUGGAGAAUGGAAGAUCUUUGGAGUUAAGGUUGAUCAUCCUAGAAGCUAAAUAUAUUGCUCAAAUGUCUUCUCAAUCAACUUCUCAACAUUGUCAGUAAGGUUACUCAACUAAGGAAGAGAAAGAGAGAUAAGAAAAGGCUCUAGUGAUUGAUAAAAGGAAGGGUAAGCUGGUAGAAGAAGAUACGUUCACAACUGGUGGAGCUGAAUAUGAUUAUGCUACUCAUGAAGAGUAUAUACAAUCUUUUGUCGAACCUGGUGAGGUGAUCAAGAGUGAUCAGGACAAAUGCCACAUGUUAAUAAGAUCUGUGGGGAUGAAUUUGUCUUUCACGAUGACUGUCUGUCAAUGGAUGAAAGAGUGAUUGAUGAUCUAGUGGAAGCAAUUGAUUUUAAAGCUAAAUUUGCUGAAACUAUAAAAUUAAAGAAGUAUUUGACGAGAAAGGGGAGAAGAUGCGACGAAUAAACUGGGAGACGAACGAGACAAAGCAAGGGACUUGUUCAAAUUAUCGGAAAUGGAGGAUGUAAACAAUGAUGCAAGGGUGAACGAUAUCUUUGAAAUAUUUAGGAUGACUCACGAGAAUAUAGAUCACCAUGAAGUGUUAAAUGAUAUCGUAACAUUUGUUAGCAUUGGAGUGCUUAAAAGACACAAUUGGUUGGUAAAUAUGACAUUUGAAAUAAAAGGUCAAAGCCACAGAUUUAGACAUGACACAUGCAAGCUACUUAAAAUUUGUUUCCCACUGAACUCUUUGUAUUAAAGAACAAGAUAAAUUCUGCUAGAAAGAAAUUCAAUGAAGUAUUCAGAUAUAUGGUAGAGAAAUGGGUCGACGAUAUCGGUAUUAAAGUACAUAACAGUCCUCACGUGAUCAAAUACUUCAAGGAUGGGAUAAUUCAGAACAUUAGCAUGAAAGAUGAAAGUCUAUCUAGCUGUAGUCCAAACAUGACAUUUAGAAGGACAACAUAGAAUGAAAUGCUCAAACUCAAAGUAAGGAAGAAAUGCAAUUAAUUUUUAUUAUGCAUGUAAGUCAAACUAAGCGAGAAAUCAAAAUCUCAACAAUAUCAAUCGACAACAACCUUAUCCAUCGCCUCCGUUUGAUCCAUCCAAACCACAAGUAACUGAAGCUCCUGUUGUUUCAUUUAAAUUCAAUAAAAGUCACUUCAAGAAAGAAGAGAAGUUUGUACUCUAACCUUUAACCUUUCAUCUAAAGAUAUACUCAAAAGAUGAAAAGAAUCACAAGAGUAAAACUCUCGCACAUAAAAGAAGACAAACAUAUACUUCGAUUUUUACCGGCACUUCUCAAGUUAAAAGAAGACUAUUAAAAUUAUCCAUAAUACUUCAAAAAUUCAUAGUCAUUUAUCUAGGGUAUUCAGAACAAUUGAAGAUAUGACUUAAAGUUGUCUUUCGAGAAAUUGCGAAAAAUGAGGCAUAUUCCCUCGCUGGUGAAGUUAAAGCAAAGUUUGAAAAACAUACUUCCGAAAAUAUCUUAAAUGAAAUACCCAAGAAUUGAAACAUAUUUUCUUGGACUAAUUUUUAAUUAACAUUCUUACGUUUUAAACUAUUAAACACUUAGAAAGCAUCUUAAAUAAAAUGUCCCAUAAAAUAUAUUACUUUAAAACAUAUUUAUUAAAUAUUUAAAAUUUAAUUUAGUUCAAAAGUAUAUAUAUUAUACAUUUAAUAAAAUUUUAUCUUCAUAAUAAAUAUAUUAUAAAUCGCGAAUAUCAUAACUCAUCCGUUAUGUUAAACAAUAUAAACUAGGGUAUAUUAUAUGAUAAGGUAAUGUUUGGUGUUAUGUUGCAGAUACCAACAACUGUUUUUUUUUGCUGAAAAUAAGUUGAAAAACUGUUUGGUAAAUUUAAAAACAGUGUUUUAGAACAAUAUUUUUUAGCUAAACUAUCUUUAGAAAAAGCAGGUCAUCCCAUGCUUUUGAGCUUUUGCGGGAGCUGUUUACAGAUUUCACUAUCAAAUCUCAUUAAAAAUAUUAUUUUUAUAUAUCAUAACUCAAAUAAAUAAAUAUAAAAAAAUACCAAACAAUUAUUUGAUUUAUACAACAAUACUUAUUUUUGAGAAAUUUACUUUAUUUACAUUUUUUUCAUAAAACAAUAAUUUUUAACAUCACUCUGAAACAGAGCGAUGUAAAUCCCAGGUAAUAUAUUAAUGCAUUGAUGAUUUAUAGCAGCUAAUAUUUGGUAUUUCAAUCACAAUUUUAUAGUAGUAUAUUUAGAAAUUAGUUUAUUAAUUUAAAGGCAGCGAGGCUAAAAAUGACUUAGUACACGAGCAGGAUAAACCCUUCAAGCCUUCUCCCUCCAAGUGGGUGUACGAAGAUGAUGGGAACAGCUGCAGUUGCUACUGCACUCUUUUCGCCGUUGAUAUCUGAUAAGGUACACCACCAUUAAUGAAUUAAUCAGAUUUUAGUUUUGUUUUCUUGCUAAUUUUCUGUACCACCCAUUUUUUUAAUUUAAUUUUGAAUUUGCCCCUCUAUUAUGUUCAAGUAAUUUUUGAGCUUCAAGUUGUUCCAGAUAUAUAACAUUAGGCCCUUCUCCCACUGUUGGGUGUAAUAUAUAAUGCAAUAGUAUCCUUUUCAGGAAUUGUUUUUGCUUGGGUGGAAGAGAACAAACAAUGGGUUGUGUAUUUUCAAUGAUAAAAACAAUAAUCCCACCAAAAAAUUGUAAUAUCACCUUUUUUGAUGAAAAAUACUAUAAUCAGCUUUUACCCAGCUUGUAUAAGAAUUGUGAAGCAAAUCGUAUUGGAUGGUAUAUAUUAUUGGAUGAAUGAAAUUGGAAUAAACAUAUGAAAACAUUCGAAUGGUUUGGUGAGGGAAUAGAUUGGAGGCAUGAUCUCGAGUAAAAGUGUUAAUAGUAUGAUCAUCUUGGUAAAAAAAAGUAUUUCUCGCGAGUUUGACUGUCUACCACCCCCAACAAUUCUCAGAAUUUAUUAUGGGUAUGAAAGUCUACCCAUAUUCUGUGUUGCCGUAUCCGAGUCCGUGCUUCCUAGUUCUUAAACCUCCACGUAAAUCAAGUGAACUUGCAUGGAUUUUAAGAAGUCUGUUUGUUGUUCUUGUUGAGGUUGAAAGCUAAUUCGGGCACUACACUUAUUAUUAUACAACUUUUGCUCAGAGUAUCUUUAGUUCUUUACCAUAUUAUUUUUUCCCUACCAAUUACACAUUAAGGUUCUAUAAUUUUUUGAUUGUAUUAUAAAGCUCUUUCUGAUGAGUUUAUACAACUUAAUUGUUUUUCUAACAGAUUUUUAUCCUCAAGCAGAGUAAGAAUAUCGUAAUUCCUCGUAUGUAUCGUAGGAGAUCAUGCAUUCCUCUUCAGAUGAUUGAUAGAGCCCCAACAUUUCAAGAAAGGUACUACUAUUAUGAACAAAGCAUGUUGGUGAGCUUUGCAUUUCUAUUAGGAAAAAAAACUUACAAAACAGUGUUUCCUUCCUACUUUACAGUAGCAGUAUUUAAUGCAGUUGCACCUACGGAAGUAAACAGUAAACAAAAUAGAUAACUAUGAUUUUACCUUUACCUUUAAAUUAUUAUUUGAACAAACUUUUGUGGUAUUUGGGAACGUAAAGAAGCACUUUAUUGGAGAAGUUGCUUUAUCUGCGAGAAAAAGCAUUUGCAUCUGAUCAGCAGUUCUUGACUUUUGGUAAGAUAGGAAUUAGUUCCUUUUUAGAAAUCUUCUACAUAUGAGUAAAUUACAUAGGUAUGUGUAAGCUUCAGUAUCUAACAUACUGUCAAAGUGUUUUCCCUUCAGGCCUUCACCUACAUUACAACAGUAGCACACUUACUAAAUUUACUUCCCACUAUAUUACGAGCUCAGUUUGCAAGUCAGGUCUUAAAGGUAUAAUAAAAUACUUUUGUCUUCAAUAUUGCAAAUGCUCGUGAUAUCUAAAAGUGGUCUUGAGAAUUGAGACCCAAAUGAGAUACAAAGUCAUAUUGUUGACUUUUUUUAGCCUAAUGUUGGAUUAGUGUGUAAGAAAUAUGAUCAUCGGAAGAAUUCUAUGUUCAGUGUAGAUCUAGUUUACUAAUUACUAUAUUCUCUAUUCUUUCAGUAACUCUUUGUAGAAAUUAAAUUGAGAAGUAAGGAAUCGCUCCAAAACAAGCUGGGGAACUAAUUUUUUAUUGAAGCAACAUUAUACAUAGUAAUGAGAGUGCCUAAUUUAGGCAACCAAGUUAAGAUAUGUUCCUGUCACAAACUUAAUUUUUUUCUGCGGGUUUUGAUAUUCCUACUGUCUGCUGCCUUUUUCCCUAGUAGCCAGUUGCCUUUAAAAAAUUUAAAUUCUGUUUAUGUAUUCUUAUAAAGAUGACGAACAUACAGUGAUAUAUUACAAGUUUGGGAUUAGAUUGGGUGUUGAAUUGUUGAUAGAUUUAUAGUUUUGGACAUGGGAUUUCUCUUCCGUAUGCAGGAUGAGUGCUAAACAAAUAAUCUCUGUCCAAGCUGUCUCAUCAGGUACAAGUUUCUUUUGCUGUAUUUGGUAGUUACUGCCUUAAAACUUUUCAGCUUCUGUUAUUUGAUAAGUGUAUUCUGCGUUCUCUUUUAAGUGAACUUAAAUAUUGAAGUUCCUUCUUCUGAAUAUGAGGAGUUCUCAGUUAGAAGUGAAAAGGAGGGUAACAAACUAAAGGUAAUAACUCUAGUCAUAAAGUGUGACUUGUGUAUAAUAGUGAAUGAAUGCUUCAGACUUUGGAGAUUUAUUUGGUAAUCGCCUUUGUUGGCCGUGAAAUAAAAUUCAUUGCCACUUUUUGAACAGCUCAGUGUAGAGGUAUGUGGUGCUAAAACGCAAGAAAUAUUUAAUGAGGUGUUCACUAAAAUGGUUGCUGCAGCUCAGCCAAUUCCAGGAUUUAGAAGAGUUAAGGGAGGUAAUAUAUCCCAUGACAAGCUUUUUUCCAUCCGCCUUGCAGUUGUUUAUUAGUCACAUAAAUUAAAUUGGAACUUAACAAGGGAGGUAAUUUAUCCCCUGACUUUAUAUUUCAUUUUUUAAUUACUUCCCUUUGAAAACUGAGACCCAAACUAGACAUAAAGUCAGCCACAUUACUUCAUUUGUGAUGCAAAAUCCGUUUUGAUAGUUGUUGAUCAGGACUGUAAAUUGUUGCCCUUCAUUAAUUUGAUUAUGUUACCCCCAUAGUAAUUAAUAUAUUCUGCCUUUUCUGUAUUUGUUAUGCUGCUUCUUCAAUGACUUGGAACUCAGGCAAAACACCCGAUGUAAGUUUCGUAUCCCCAUUGUUUAACUGUCAUCAUUAUAUUGUCCAAAGCAGCACUUUUAGUUAUGAAGUAAAGGGGAAUUCAAUAAGCAUUAUGCAUUCUGAUUCUCUAGGGGGCGUUUGGUUCAUGGUUAAUGUGACCGGUAAACAAGAAUCGGAACCUCAUACCUAUAUGUAUUUGUGUUUGGAUCAGCAAUUUUAUUGUGUGGAAUGGGAACUUUAUUCCCUCUUGGCGGGUAAAUCAUUACUUCCACACCCCUUGGGAUACCCAUUCCCAUACCCCCAAUUCCUAUACUCCUCAUUCCCAUUCCCGAUUACCAUUCCCACACACUAUCCAAACGCCCCCUGUUAACAGAACUAGCAUUUUAACACCAGCAUAAUGCAUUCUGUGAGUUAAGAGAACUAGCAUUAUGACACCAGCAACAUGGUUACAUCUUUGUUUGUAGUUUACAGUAGUUACAUACUAUUCAAGUUUACUUUUUUCAUUUCUUUAUUGAGUCGUCUUUGAAAUCUUUACUGUCAUUGCUCAUACAAUAAUUCCUGUCCAGCAUCAAACUGCCUCAUGUUUAAUCUUGCAAAAAAAAGGAAAAAAGUUACUGUGAGGAAUCAUUGUUUUACCUUGUCAUCAUGACAUACAAACAUGAAACACCUACGUUUUAGCUUUUCUGAUAUAUCUUGAUUAUAAGUUUAUAACACUGACACGCAUGCUAACAUGUGCAUACUUAAUAUUAAAUCUGGUUUUUUCCUCUCUCUUUUUAUAUGCAAGUAGUGUUUUAGCUUUUUGCUCAUUCAUUUUCUGGCAGAUACCAAGGGACAUCCUCUUAGAAGUUCUUGGACCUUCCAAGGUGUACAAAGAAGUAAUUAAGAAAGUUAUCAACUCGGCAAUAUCUGAAUAUGUUAAAAAGGUCGGUGUAGAUUAAAAACUAUAUUUUGUAUGAACCCCCUUGUUCCUUGUCCAACUCAUUUUGACAAAAUUUGGCUAAUGCCACGAGCAUUCCACACAAGUGCAGUUAACUUAAUGGCACAAUUUAUUUGAAAUCACUGCCAGGUCUUCAUCAAUAUUAUAUAAUGCAGUUAAUACCAUUUCUUGUUUUCUCUGAGUAUUAAAAGUAUAUAACUAUUUGGUUUCGAAGUUUUAAAGAUCUUGAAGCCACCUUUCUAUGAUCCUCAUAUAAUCUUACUUUAUCUAUAUGUGCAGGAGAGAUUGAUAGUUGGUAAGAAUGUGCGUGUUGAACAAAGUUUUGAUGAUCUUGAAGCCAUAUUUGAACCUGGUGACAGCUUCCAAUUUGACGCGGUGGUUCAGUGUCAACAAUCAAAUGAAAGUUGAUUCCUUUUUUUAUUUCUUCUUUCUUCUUUCCAAUUAAAUAUAAACAGAAAUAGAAUAAUUAUCUGAUAUUUUUUGUAAACUUGUAGUUCGUAGCUACACAUUACGUCUAACAUGAGAAAAAUAUGAGAAAAUGUGAUAUACUGAAUUCUAAUGUGUAUAAACUACAGACCUACAAAUUAGUAAUCUAUAAUAGAUAUUCAUAAGAAAAUUGGAGAGUGUUUGAGAUUCCAACGAGCUCUAUUAUUGGGAAUAAGUCUUGUAUUACAUUCUUCCCUUUCAAGCUCACAUUAGUCUUUGCUCCUCUUCAUCAUCGCUAGCAUCCUCCACUAUUCCCUGUACAUAUUGAUCAUCUUCCUUCCGAAGAUGCUUCUACAACAAAGACUUGGGGCUCAUCAAUCUACAGAGGGAGGUCCCUCGAUAAGAAUCAUACAACUUGGGGUAACCACCUUUCUCCAGGUGAUGCCCACUCCAAUUAUGACGCUCUCAUUUAAAAAUUCAAGCAGGUCUUCAUCUGGGUCAAUAUUUACCUUCAAUUUUGAGCUGACUUCAUAUUUCUAUUAGAGCAGUCCCUUAAAUCAUAUUGGCAUCCCUUGAUAUAUUAUGCGUUCCUGGGGCUUGGUAAUUUCAUAGAUAGAUGAUAAAGUGAAGUAACAACCCUUAUCUCCUUCAAGAUAGGCGUCCCAAUCAUAGAACUAUAGUAUAUUGGUGCAUCAAUGAUCAUAAACUCAGUUAUCUGUGUGGAUGACACCGAGUCUUUAAUUUUAUCAUACCCUUCACCUUUACCGAGUCGCCUGUGAAGCCAUGCGAAUCAUCUCCUUAUCUAGAAAUCUAAUCUUCUAAAAGUCUUGUAGCAAGGAAUUUCACAGACCUCCCAUAUCCUUGAUCAAUAUUCACAUUCGAAACCAGCACAUUGUUGUGACGGUGAUGCACCCACACCAGCAAGAUUAUCUGUGUAUCCUCCCCGCGAACAACUUAGGAGGCCUCUCAGACUUCUGAUUAACUGAUUGGUGACUGCCUAGCCUCCCUUGCAUAUUUCUCAGACUUGAACAUAAUCCUUCUUUGCCUCUGCCUCCAGAAUAAUGAACUCAGACUUGCGAAGAACAAAAGAUACGUUUAGCUCUUUUAUAGAGCUCAAGUCAUCUCAAUUUGUUUGCAACUAAACAGAAGUCAGUACUUGAAAUUUUGCCUAUUGUCAUACCAAACCUAUGCACCAAAUCUAGCCUAUUUAGCUUGACUGAUGAAAUUUAGGAUAUUAGCUGACAAAUUCUUCAAUUCAUUUCCUGAACAUAUUAAUAUGAAUCUGAAGUCAUUCUUCAUGUUGUUUCAGAUACAUAUCAUGAACCACCUCAGUAAUUAGGACACGUGAAAUACGAAAGAUAAAUAUAGUUAACAGAAAAAUGAAUCAAAAAUAUAAUAUAUAGGAUAAGUGAAUAACCACACUUGAAAUACUGUUCUAUUUAAGCAAAAAGAAAACAGAUUCCUCAAGUCAUCUUUCAGUCUCUGCAUCCAUGCGCUCAAUCACUCUACGUGCUUCCUCCUCAGUAGCUGGUACCACAUUGCGUAUUUGUUGACCAAGGGACUCUGUACUUACAGUGAAUGUGAAGUAGAACUUGUUGGAUACCUGUGAGGCAGAAAGCAAAAACAGAUUCACAAUUUUAUCAGAAACUUGGCUGCAACCCAUAUUAUGGUUAAAUAAAAACAACGAAAACUGCAAUAUUUAGUAAUUUUAAUUUUACACAGAAGUCUUUGGUUGAGCUGAGUUAAAACUACAACUAUUACAUUUGUAGUUCAGCUGUAAGAAAACUAGAUGGCAAUUAACUUCUGCGAUUUCAUGCCUUUUGCAAGUAUCGAGUACAACAGGCCAAUAGAUGGUUCAGUUGAAAAUCUAAACAACCGACUGAUUACUGUGAUGCACAAUAGGCAUGUUUAACAGGGACGUAAACAAGCUCACCUCACUGACCCUCUUUUCAGGCCGUGUUACAUGGGCCACAACUUCGACGUUUAUAAGAGGUUUCUCAGGGUUUUCAAGUUCCGUAUACAAAACACAAGACUUGAAUCGAAGAAAAUUUCCAACAUCCACCUGCAUUAGUAGAUCAUAUAUCAAAACGAAUAAGAAAGCAUUUUUCAAAACGCUUCCGCUAACAGCUUAGAGUUCUUCUAGACACCAACGUGAAAAGAAUAUAGAAAUAAACUCUAUUACUACUACUCAACCUUUUAUCAAGAUAAUUUUAACAUGAGAAUGCUAGAAGGGUAAAGCAUAGAAAAACUGCAACUGAUUAAAAGUGAAUUAUCUGCGACUACUCACAGGCUUUAAAAAAUCAACAUGGUCAACUUCAACAAAGCGUGGUGCACUGCCUGCAAAUGAAUAAGCUGUUGCAAAACCCAGUUCGAAAGCCCUUCGCAUCAAAAAACCUCCAAAAAUCCGGCCAUGAAUGUUCCUUUGCUGUGGUUGGCAAAUCAAAGAAUUGUGAUGGCAAGUAUCCGAAAUGAGAAUGCUGUUUCUAUCAGCCAAAGCUGGCAUGUCACUAAAUAUUCGCCCUUCAGACAACAAUGCAUUGAGCCUGUCUACCUCUCCAGCGCCUAUCUUCUCCUGUUCUCUUCUCUUCUCCUUCCUCCUUUUGUUCCUUUCUUCUGCUUCUUCCCAGAGCAAUCUUUCAUUUUCAGUUUCGGGCUUCACCUGAUUAAUUUGUGCUGACUUUCCCGUAACAGGAUGACGAGCAACAAAAGUAAAAUUUGCCGUAAGAACUACUGAGUCCGUCUCAUCCGAUCCUUCUGCAAACCAAUGAAUCUUAUCAAAGAAAACAAAUAAUCUAGUAAUUAGUUAUAAUCUGGUACAUAUAUCCAGAUGCGAAUCCAACCGAAGAAUUUCUAAGCAGAUGAAUAUUUCAAAAGUAAAGAAAAAGGCAUAACAUGGUAGUAAUACUACCUUUUGCGACCUGAGUGACGAGCAAUUGAAUUUCCAUAGACGAACGUCCAACCCAAGUGACAGAACCAACAAUUGUGACAUCCCUUUCAACUAGAAUUGGUUUCUUAAGAGCAAUCCUGUCGACAGAUGCCGUGACUAAUAUUAGGGGGCUUGUUAAGGUGUCAUCACUGGAACAAUGCUGGUAAUGAGAAAAAAAAACAUUAAUACACGAUUAAUGUUUAAAAGAAAUCGGAUACCAAACAGUCCAAUGAAUGAAUAAUUAAUCCACAUUGAAGCUGAGAAAAUGAUUAAUUAUGAAAAUGUUGUUAAUUGACGACAAAGCAAUGAAAUGUAAUUAGAUGGUAAAAAUUAAAAUGAAGGAGAAUGAAAGUAGUGUAGUUACUACUUCCUCCGUCCAAGCAGGAAGUAUACAUCGGGGACGAGGACUCGACACGCAUUUUAACACUCCAUUAAACUAUAAAUACGGAAGUAGACUUUAUAUUCAUCAUAAAAUACGUGUCAAACAUCGAAGAAAAACGAUAUACAAUUGGAUGGGACAGAGGGUAUACCUUAAAAGAAAUGGUUCCGGCAAGGGCGUCGAGAUCUUCAACCAAUUUGCCCAUCCUCAUCCUAUUCCAAGGAUUCCGAUAUUGUUCUCUAAGCAUGUAAUCCGUGGAGAAUUUAUAAACAACGCUGGUCCUGCUUUUCGAGGGGGAUUUCGCAAGUACUUGUGUAUUAUUAUUAGUAUUGUUAUUACCAUGAGCUGGAAUUUUGGGUUCAUAAAUAUUUGAUCUAGCUUCCCACAAAGCAUUGGUUACAGGAGAAUGGUACAUUCCGGGCCACAAGCUAAUCGGCUUUCGUAUCGAAGAACCCGCAUCAAUGGGCUCAUCGGAAUCACCGUUUGGUUUAGCAGAAUCUGGGUGUGGUGGGGUGGUGGUUGUGGAUGAUGAAUACAGCUUGUUGUUGCUGUUUUUCCAGAAUAUGGGGUGUGAAUAUUGAACAUGCUUGUGGGUGAUUGGGGGUUGUUUUGGUUUUGGGAUGGAGGAGGAGGAUUUGUAGGAAUUUGCAGCAAAAAGAAUGUUGAAAAAUGGUUUCUUUGUUUUCAUUUUUCCAACCUCCUGCUCACACCAUCUGUUUCUUGUUUUUAUUCCACUGUCAAUUCCUUCUAAUUUUCCCUAAUUUGGUGGCGCCCCUCUUUCUUCCAUUGUCGUACAACAUAAUAUUAUAAGAGGCCGUUUGGUUAGGGGUAACUGACAAAGGGAAAGGAAAACAACCCGUCUCAUUCCCUUUGUUGUUGUUUGUUUUAUGAAAUCUGCCAUUCCCUUUGCUUUGUUUUGGUUUUAGGUUUACCCCAGAUCCCUCCUGAUCCAUUCCCCACCCCCGACCAGGUAUUUCUUUUCCCUUUCCUCAUUCUUAUUUUAUUUUCACUUAUAAUUUAUUUCAAAAAUCAUUAACACUAUAAAAUAAUAUGUAAAAAUAUUUUUGAAGAUCAAAAAUAAAUUUUAAUUUAGUUUUUACAUAUUAAAAAUAAUUUUAAUAUAAUUUAUAAGUCAAGAUAUUUUUAAAGUUAAUGAAAUUUUUAAAUGAUAAAAUAUAUCAAAUUAUAAACGUGAAUAUAUUUGACUCUUUUGAUAUUAUUUAAUAUUUAAAAAUUAAAUAUAGGAAUAAUCAUAUAAAUUUUCAUUCCGUUUCCAGAUCAAAACCAAACAGGUAAUACAAUUCAGCAUCAUUCCUUUCCUUUCUCUUCGUUUCCCUUUCUGAAUUUCAUUCCGUUUCCUUAACUCGAACCAAACGGCCCCUUAGGGUAUUAGAAACACGAUCAUUUUCUCGAGUUGGGCUCUAUAAGGACAAUUAUAUUUAGAGUCAUUAGAGACCUAUGUCUCUACCGUUGGAUGGAAGACUAAGACUAAUCUAAAGGCCAGGAUUAAAGAUUUAUAAAUUAAUUAAAAUCUUUACAAACAAAACAGCAAGCGGAAAAAAAAUAUCGUAUACGAGAUUGGCGGGCUUAUCUACAGCAAUUACGUUUUUCAAAACCAAACAGGUAAUACAAUUCAGCAUCAUUCCUUUCCUUUCUCUUCGUUUCCCUUUCUGAAUUUCAUUCCGUUUCCUUAACUCGAACCAAACGGCCCCUUAGGGUAUUAGAAACACGAUCAUUUUCUCGAGUUGGGCUCUAUAAGGACAAUUAUAUUUAGAGUCAUUAGAGACCUAUGUCUCUACCGUUGGAUGGAAGACUAAGACUAAUCUAAAGGCCAGGAUUAAAGAUUUAUAAAUUAAUUAAAAUCUUUACAAACAAAACAGCAAGCGGAAAAAAAAUAUCGUAUACGAGAUUGGCGGGCUUAUCUACAGCAAUUACGUUUUUCAAUUUAUCCUCUACAAGAUGAUCGUGAUUCUUGCUGAUUUUCAUAUUCACAUAUCUUCCUGAUUCUGAGAGACAAUGCAGGACAAUAGCGGAGUUAGGCAGAGAGCAAGUGCAAGCAUGAGUCAAGGUACGGAUCUCUCACUUUUCUUUAAUCAGUUGAAUGCUGAUAUUUGUUGUGUGUUUGGUAUUUGUCAUGUGCAAGACAACUUUAUACGAUAAGGCAUACAUAGGUUGAUGUUAUGAUAUGAUUUGUCUAGCUUUAUGUAGGAUCACCCACCAUUUGUUUGACAAAAUUCCGCUAAGAAACAUUUUAUCUUGUUCUAGUUCUUCUAGUUUGAUUUUGUACUACUGACCGAUUACAUGUUGAUUAUCCUUGACAUCCUCUGUAAAGGAUGUCUUGUUCAACGGAACUUGGUAUAGCUAUAGCAUGAUAAAUAAAAAAUCGGCAGAUUUCGAGUUCACUCCUAGGGAUUUUAUAGCCUUGAAUAAUAAGGAAUGCAAUUUGUAUUUUCCGGUCUAUGUUUUAAAGUGCCAGACCCGUAUAUUGAGGAAAAAAACAAAUGUUAGUCACUACAUUUUGUCAAAACUAUGAUGUCUAGUUUAGUUUGAGAUCAGUUUUUCAUGACUCAUUGGACAUAGUUUGAGAUAUUAUGACUUCUAAAGUUUAACGGUUACGUUGCAAAAAUUAGUAUAUAUGGUCCUCAAAAGACCUCCCAAUUUACAAACUGCUUUUUUGUCAAAAUUAUAACAAAUAGCCUUGGUAUUCUGAGGCCCGUGUAUAUGUUACUCUGUUGCCAAAAGUGUCAUAGUUUUUUUCUAGUAUGUUAACAAUGUAGAGAUUGAUUUCUAAUUGUGGAUUAUAAUGUGACACGAACGUCCUAACACAGCUAUACUGAUAUCCGAGAUAAUUUUAGAAUAUACAUGACAAUUUUUAUCCAUCAAAAUAAUAAAUGGUGAUUGUAUUUAAGAAAAUAAUUUGUAUAUACAAGUAAACUGUCAGAAAGUUUUUGAUACUAAAAAGCUACUGUAUCUACAAUUUAGAAGUAUAUUUUUUAUAUAUAUUUUGAUGUAUGCGUAAACUAUUUGCAACGAAAAGACGAAGAAGCAGUAGGCUCAAUUGUUCACCGUGGUUGAACAAAGGGACUAAGAGGCCUCCUGUAUACGUGGACUUAGAUACGGAAGAGAGGCGUUCUGUUGUGAAUAAAAAAGCAAGGCAUCUAAAAGAUUCUAGUGUAGAAGAACUCGAAAUUACUUUUAGAAGGAACAUAAACUGGGGUAGUGGCUUAGGGAGUUCGAGGAAGCCGGAGAGUAAGGAUUCUAAAUCCAGACAUUCUAUAGUAAUCAGUCAGGAUGUUCGUCAAGCAGUGUCCAAAGUGAAUGUUGGAGAUGGUAGUGAUGACGAUGACUUUGUUACAACUCUGGAGAAAUUUGGGAGCAGCAGUUUGGUUAACGAAAGAGGAACGACUAAUUCAAGGAGGAAGACAAGGGGAAACUCGAAUAAGAAAGCAAUUUUUGCCCUUGUCAGUGGCUUGCCGGAAGGGAACACAACAUCACAACAGAGGAUAACAAGGAGUAUGAAAAAGAAUGCAAAAAGGAAUGAUCGGAAAAAUACAAAGAAUGCCUUUGGGACUAAGAAUCAAUAUGCAGCAAAGGUAUUUCAACUUUAUGUUGUUUGAAUUUUGUGGACACUAAUGGUCACACAAAAGUAGUCUAAAAGUGCAAGACAAGCUGAAUUAAUCUAAAACUGCAUAGCUUUUAUCUUGUAUUUUGCAAACUAGUUUAUUAAAGUGCAAGACAAGAUGAAUUAAUCUUUUGUCCUGCAUUUAAUAUUAUUUUACAAUGCAAUUUAUAGACUUUGUCGUCUUAUCUUCUUAUCUUUUUUAUCUUUAAAAAGUUGUUGAAAACAAACUUAUUAGGUCGUGUCUUUCUAAUAGGGUGCCAUAAUUGUUCCUCUUGUGCAUGUUUUAGUAAUAUGUGAAGUAGACUUGCUCCAAUACUGAAGAAUUUUCCAUAUCUCUACUUGAAAAGCAAAUUAUCAUACAUUGUCCUACAAAUAGUAGUCGUUUGUCCUGCAUAUAAUUUGUAAGGGUUUCUUCGGUUAUCAAAGUGCAUUGCAGAACCAUGUUAUUUUUUUUUGCUAAAUCGUAAUCAUGUAUCAUGUGAUGCUUUCCUUAUUCUUUAUAAUGCAAGACAAUUGAGACAGGCUGUGUACUUGUAUCUUGUGGUCAUACCGUGGUGGUUAUAUGCAGGAAAAACUUUCGUAAGGAUUGUCUAGCAAUUUAAUAUUCUUCGGGAUAUAUGCAUAACUUUGUUUUUUAAAUACAGGGUGAGGCUGUUGGCUACAAAGAAGUUGUAAUUAAUGAAAAACCACCAAAAAAAAAGUACGCAGCUAUGACAACUACAUUCAAAAGAAGUUCUCGCCAGCUAUAAUGCGAGACAUUCUAAUCAGUCUAUCAGAGGAACAAGUUGGCUGGGUAAAACGCACUGGGUUUGGCGGAAUCUUGGAUAUGAGGAUGGAAAAAUACCCACAUAGACUGGGAUAUAAUGUGGUAUCUGCAUUUAACGUGGAAGAAUGCAUGUUGAGCUUGAAGGCAGGCAAUAUAAAGAUAACUAAAGACAUUGUUCACAAUAUAAUUGGGCUGCCAAGAGGUAAGGAGAGAGUAAUAAUUUCCAAAGAUAAAGUAGCAUAUGAUUUUUAAGGCCUUCAAUUUCCUGGAACGCUAACAUGUAAGGUGUAACAUAACAUGGUGAAGAAAAAGAUUCUAGAUUCACGGGUGGCAGCAAAACAUUCAAGUUAAAUUUUUUGGUGUUGAUGCACAACUUCUUUAUAGAAGGACAUCAGAAUCGACAUUUGAUGAGGGAUAUAGUGUCUUUUUCCGAUGAUAUUGAUAACUGUGCAAAUUACAACUGGUGUGGCUUACUUAUCGAGAAGCUGAAACGUAAACAUGCUUUCUGGAAUGAGGAAAGGAGUAGAGACUUCACCGGCUCACUCCCUUUUUUGAUUGUAAGUGAACCUACUAUGUAAAGCAUUAAAAUUAAGUUUGUCCUCUACUAUAUGCUAAUUGUAUCUUUAAAUUUGUAGUAUUUGUACGUAAAUCAAGUCAACAAUGGGAAGACUAGCACAGUUUCUUUGCAGACACCGGCAUAUAAGGUCCGGUCAAAUAUGUUACUGUUGGAGAGGCAGAAAUUUGAGUGCAAAAACGACUCUUUCGGGGUGGGACACAUAGGCGGAAAGGAGACAACGACUGUGGUAAUGCAUGAUGCAUUUUGUUUUGUUUUUUCAAAGGCAAUAACAUAAUUUAGUUUAGUGGAAGACAAAUUUAUUUUGUGCAGAAUGAGAUGAACCAGAGAGUGGCACAACAAGACAAGGAAUUGCAAGAGCCUCAACAGGUCGGGGAUAAAGAGGUAGCUAUUUUAUCCCGCUGUUUAACCAUAUCCUGCAUCACAUAGUACAUGUAUCAAAAAUAAAGUCUAGUAAUUUGAGAUUGCUGAGUCCUUGGUCUGAGAAUAAUUACUCAACAAUGUUACAAAAUACAUAAUACAAACUACUUCAUCUGAA
RNAcentral lists this long non-coding RNA (58264 nucleotides) under Daucus carota (carrot). Its description in RNAcentral is "long non-coding RNA (DCAR_LNC001143)". The record is from RNAcentral. Lineage: Eukaryota; Viridiplantae; Streptophyta; Magnoliopsida; Apiales; Apiaceae.